RNAcentral lists this long non-coding RNA (46691 nucleotides) under Pelobates cultripes (western spadefoot toad). The record is from RNAcentral. Lineage: Eukaryota; Metazoa; Chordata; Amphibia; Anura; Pelobatidae.
GCUCUGCAUGUCAUUUUAAUUGUGAAUCAUAAUACUGUUAGAUUUUACUGCGAUAAAGUACACAUAUCUGUGUUCAGCGAUGUCUCACGAGUAUAACAGUAUCCUGCAUGCAUAGCGUUUUGGACACUAACAAGGGCCAAAUAUAGUGCAUUGCCUUUUGCAGUUUACAUACAUUGAAAUUUNNNNNNNNNNNNNNNNNNNNNNNNNNNNNNNNNNNNNNNNNNNNNNNNNNNNNNNNNNNNNNNNNNNNNNNNNNNNNNNNNNNNNNNNNNNNNNNNNNNNGCCAGAUUCGUUAUGUUGCCUUUGAGACCGUAUAGCAGGCCAAGAACGAAAAUCAUAGCAUAGCAUUUGCAAAAGUAGACAAUCGAGUGUAUACAAAAUGGGAUGUUUNNNNNNNNNNNNNNNNNNNNNNNNNNNNNNNNNNNNNNNNNNNNNNNNNNNNNNNNNNNNNNNNNNNNNNNNNNNNNNNNNNNNNNNNNNNNNNNNNNNNAAACUGGAUGUAAUUAAAGAACAGUAAAGUUGUAUGAACACUGCCCUUUACCCCGUGCCAAAGCCAAAUGGAAAAUGGAGCAUGAUAUUAGAUUACACAGAGGUAAACAGGGUUACACCACCCAUUGCAGUGCAGAAUACACAUUCUCACCCUUGUCAGGCAUAUCCAAUGUAGAGGCAUAUGUUGAUGACANNNNNNNNNNNNNNNNNNNNNNNNNNNNNNNNNNNNNNNNNNNNNNNNNNNNNNNNNNNNNNNNNNNNNNNNNNNNNNNNNNNNNNNNNNNNNNNNNNNNUUUUUCCCUUGACCUCGGCUAUUUCUGACUAUUCUUUGGUACGUUAGUCCGGCCAUUCUAAGGUGCGGUAUACGUCACCUAUCAGUCCUCUGUGUUACACAAUUCUACGUGCUGGAUCAUACUGUAAUCCUGACAGUUAUAUCCUGUGUGAAGUACAAGCUCUAGCAUGACAAUUUCUAGUCUCACUUCUCAAGCAAGCAUUGGUAAUUACUUUACUGAGAGGGUAGUGGAUGCAUGGAAUAGUCUUCCAGCUGAAGUGGUAGAGGUUAACACAGUAAAGGAGUUAAAGCAUGCGUGGGAUAGGCAUAAGGCUAUCCUAACUAUAAGAUUAGGCCAGGGACUAAUGAAAGUAUUUUAAAAAAUUGGGCAGACUAGAUGGGCCAAAUGGUUUUAAUCUGCUGUCACAUUCUAUGUUUCUAUGUAAACAGUGUUAACUUUAUGAAUAUCUGAAAUAUAUUUGGAAAAAAUAUUGCUGAAACGCAAUAUGCAGCUGUGGCUUGGCCUGCGAACAAUACCAUUUUAGCCAAAGAAUGAGAAUAUAACAGCUGACUAUCUAGAUGAAUGUAAAUUAAAGGAACAUUGUAGGAUCAUGAACACAAACAUGUAUUCCUGACUCUAUACUGUUAAAGCCACCAUCUAGCCCCCCUCCCCCGGAACUCCCUUGCCUUUCUAUAUAUAGUAAAACCUUACUUGUAUUCAAGUCUGCAGCUACUGGCUCUGCCCCUUUUUGCCUAAUCUGCCUCUGCCUGCUGACAUCAUCAGAAGUGGUGAUCUGAGCCAAUCCCAAUGCUUCCCCAUAGGAUUGGAUAAAACUGUUAAGGAGGCAGAUCAGUGGCAGAACCAGCCCAUGAAUCAGUGCAUCUCUAUGAGUGUGAUACUUUUUAGAAGAACUUCAUUUGGAACUCAACUACAGAUAAAAUAAUACAUUUGACACUAUCACUUUAAGAUAGUAUAAUUUAUUAAAAGUAGGUAAUUCCAAUUUAAUAAUCCUCUGUAGCAGUAGAAAUUGAAAAUAAUAAUGCAUAAGUAAAGAUAAAUAGUGUUUGGAAUUGCUUCACAGAGAAUAUAGAGUUCAACAGUAAAUUAUAUAAAUUGACCCUGAAUUGGAUUUUAACACCACAGUCUUUUAGAAGUAAUUAACUUAGGAAAGAGCAAUCAGCUGUAAUAGAAUUCCAGGAGGUAGACAAGAAUAUUCCCAUUUAUCCUACUCAGUAACAUAAAGGUAUCAUCCUAUGAUUAAUCCCAUUAACUGAAGAACUUAACUGUAUUCCCGUGGGUAAUGAGAAUGGAAGUCAUUUGCAACUGUCAAUGAAGAUUUAGGAUGCCAGUAGUAUACUGAGGUUUCAGGAAACCAUAGUGAAGCCUUUUUCUGAGUCUGGGAGAGGAGAAGUUAGCGAUGCUCGGUACACGGGUAUCCAAUAUAGAGCUCCGAAGGAAAUAGAAACAGGUAGGAUACAAAGUAUCAAUGAGAAACAUUGAUUGAGCAAUACAUAUGCGGCAGCGGCAUCCUUUUAACAGGGAAGCGCGUGACGUCAGACGCAUGGAUAGAAAUUGAUCGGUGAAACCCGGAAGUCGUACAGGUAAAGGCCAAUCUGAGUGAGAGCAAAAUAGAGAAUCAUGACAAUGAGGGGAGUUCAGUGUCUGCAUGCAAAGGGUGGAGACACUGAAUGUCAGUGCUGCUUAUGCAGCCAUCUGAGGCCAGUAGAGGUAUCACUAGGCAUUUUCUCUGAAAAGACAGUAUUUACUGCAAAAAGCCUAAAGGGAAUGAUUCUACUCAACAGAACAGAUACAAUAAGCUGUAGUUAAAUAGUUACAUAGUUACAUAGUUGAAAAGAGACUUGCGUCCAUCAAGUUCAGCCUUCCUCACAUUUGUUUUUUGCUGUUGAAGGCAAAAAAACCCGGUUUGAAGCACUUCCAAUUUUGCAACAAGCUAAGAAAAUAAUUCCUUCUUGACCCCAGAAUGGCAGUCAGAUUAAUCUUUGGAUCAAGCCGUUAUUACUCUACAUUGAAAGAUUAUAUCCUUGAAUAUUCUGUUUUUGCAAGUUUGCAUCUAGUAGCUGUUUGAACAUCUGUAUGGACUCUGAUAAAACCACUUCUUCAGGUAGAGNNNNNNNNNNNNNNNNNNNNNNNNNNNNNNNNNNNNNNNNNNNNNNNNNNNNNNNNNNNNNNNNNNNNNNNNNNNNNNNNNNNNNNNNNNNNNNNNNNNNAUUAAUUUGGGCAAAUAGCUGGAAAUUCUAAAUCGGAAACAUAAAACAAACAUCUGUUAAAAAUGGACUGGAAACUACUCAUUAUACUCUUUAUAUUUUGUUCAUUUUAUUUUCUGUUAAUUGUUUCCUCAUAUGUUUGCAUAAUGUAAGGUGUUCCUUUGAACACUAUUUAUAGCUCAUAUCACCGCUGUCUUACACAGUUCGGAACAGCACACUACCCACGCUAACUCCUAACCCCCCCCCCCAUGAGUCAAUCUUGAUUAUGCAUCCAAUUGACCCAUCCUAAAGGGGUUCUAGACUUUACCAAAUAAUUACAAUUCUACUAAAAGACCUUCAUUGACAUGGAGGCAUCUGGGUGCUAUCCACCCUUCUUGGCACUCUCAUUACCUCCUAUACAGCACUAAGAUGGGGACAGCAUUCCUGUUAACUUACUUUUUAUUUAGAUAUAGUAUAAUAACAUUAAAAUCCACAGUCCUCCAUGUUAUACAAACUACGAUAUAUGUAUGUGCCGCAUUUUACUACCUGAGAAAUGCAUAUACCAUAUUAUAUUGUUGACACUGACUACGCACUGAUGUCCAAUUAGAAGCGAUGCCUGAUUGUGAUGGCUGGAUUGUGAAUAAUGAAAUAAUUUUUUUUUAAAGUACUGAGAAAUUGUUGUUUUUUGGGAUGAAUAAACACGACUAAUAUUAGACACUGCUUAGACACUGCUAGUUAUUGCAAAAUAUUGUUGAAUGAAUUUCUAUGCAGAUUUUUGAGAUAGUGCAAGUGUUAACUAAGACCUGAAAUUGCAAGCAGUUCUCACCUUUGCACCGAGGUUCAGUAGAGCUCCAGGUUCCCAUUGCCGUGCAGGAUAUCGAAUUCAUUCCGACCAAUGAAAAAUCUGGACCACAAGUAAACGUCACAGAUUCUUUGUAAUUGUAUUCUGUCUUCUUGGGCUCAAAGCUUCCAUUAGCAAUGGUACUUGGAGGAAGACAUACUUUAACUAUGAAAUAAAAAUGUUACCCUAAAAUACUCAUACAAUUUUAUUUGACUUAUUUAAUCUGACUUAUUUUAUCUGAACUAUUACAUAACUAAAAAUAUAGUAUUAUUUCAGGAUGAACAUAUUUUGCUGAAUUUAUUCCACAUUUUUAUUUGCUGCCAUUUUAUUAAAUGGAAGAUUUGAAUACUGAAAUCUAUGCUAGUAUGAUUCUAAGAGAUACAACUAAUAUCUAACGCAGCAAUAGCUUACACAUUAAGCACCUUAUGAACAACAAAAAAAGGUGUGCUGUGCCUUUUAAUAUUAUGCAAGGUAUGAUAAAGUGCAAUUAGGUAGUGCACUGUACAAUUGUGAUAUUGCCAAUAAUAAAGAAAAUAUAUAAAGUGCAAACAAAACAGUGCACUAUAAAGUAAAGUGCAAAAUAAGUGCACAAGUGGAAAAAAAUGAAAUAAAAAAGGCUUACAGUAAUCCUUAAUAAAUGGAGUUUCUCAGUAUUCUCCCAGAAAUAGAUUGGAGUACAUUGCAUGAAAAUAUAAAAAGAGGGAACUAUAGUGAGAGACUGCAACACUUAUAAAUAUAAAGUCAGAGAAUGACAAUAAACUCAAGGAGUCUGCUCCAACUCAAAUGGCUUGUCCCUGUACUUCAGGGCUGGAGUGAAGAAGAUGUUCAGAACCGCGGCUGGACGCGUAACAAUUCAUACUUUAUUAAAUGUGACAAAGCUCUUAGUCCAAAAGAAGUCCUCAACUCUUCAAAUAAAGCCGCAGAUUUAUUAUUUCUAAAUUAUUUAAUACAAUUAUUGGCAAUCUCACUGUUUGCACUACCUAAUUGCACUUUAUCAUUCCUUGCAUAAUAUUUACAGAUACAGCGCGCAUUUUUUCUUUGAUUACAGCUGUUUGUGUGUUUUUUGCGUUUUAAAGGUGCAGCGUUCCUUUUAAUAUUACUAUAUAUUAUUACGUUAUUCUUACUAUUAUCGCCUUAUUUUGCUUGUUCAUUUCUUUUUUGUGUGUAUUAAGCAUCAUAUGCUACAAAAUGUACACUAAUAAUAGUGGAUAACGCCUGCUGUGAAAUAUUUGGUGCAUGAGUUUCUGUACAGGUUUUUGAGAUACAUCAAAUUGUAAUAAUGUGAAACUGAAAAAAGUACAGCAAGCAGUUCUUACCUUUACAUUGAGGUUCAACUGAGCUCCAGGUUCCUGUUGUUGUGCAGUUUAUUGAGUCUAGUCCAAGCAAUGUAAAACCUUGAUCACAUCUAUAUUUCACAGAAUCCGGGUACACAUAUUGUGUCUUCUUCGGAUCAAAACUUCCAUUAGAUAUUACAUUUGGAGGUUUACAACCUAGAUGACAAAAAAACAGGUUCUAAAAACCAUAACGGCAUAAAAUUUACCUACGAUUUUAAAAUGAAUAAGUAUUUUAAGAACAUAUAUAUAAGAAUACAAUAGGCAAUGGCACCAGUGGCAGACCCAGGGGAGGGGGAGGCAACGGGGCAAUUGCCCCCCCCCAGUAUAGUGCCAAGGCUCUUCCCUGCCAGUUUCAGCUGGGCCAGCUCUAUCCAAUUGCCGGCCCUGCUGGGUGCCUCACCAGAACACCAGGGCUUCACCCCUAGGACCACCUAGUUUAAUGUCCCAUCUCCCAGACAAAGGUAAAAAGGCAGGGGGGGUAUAAAGAUUAUUUAAGAAAAAAAUAAUAAUUUUAUUCUAAAUUUAAAUAAUAAAAAAGCAAAUAAAUAUAUAUUCUCAAGUCACACACUGCACCUCACAUCCAGCCACUGUACCACACACCCACACUCUGCAUCCCACAUCAACUGCACCCCACACCCACACACUGUACCACACACCCACACUCUGCAUCCCAUAUCCACUGUACCCCACACCCGCACACUGUACCACACACCCACACUCUAAAUCCCACAUCCACUGUACCCCACACCCACACACUGGACCUCUCACACACACUGGACCCCUCAUACAGCACCCCUCACACACUGGACCCUUCACACACAGAUUGCAACCCUCACACACAUUGCACCCCUCACACACACACACUACUGCCCCUAUCCCUUACCAAAGGCCCUAUUCCCUCCUAUAGCUCUAUCCUUGCAGACCCCAGGUAAGUUUUCAAACUGUUCUUAAACUGUUUGACUACUUACUCUGGCAGGGCUCUAUGGCACUCCUGUACCAUAACCACUACAGAGGGCUGUGAUGGUUACUGUGCCUGGAUUUUCCUUUACAUGAUCUACUACUGCCCCUCCCGAGAUUAGGAUCUGGAUCCGCCCCUGAAGGGCACUGUUAUUCUUACUUUUUAUUGCUUUCUGUCUUUUUAUUUUUCAUUUUCUUAAUGAUGCUUGUUGAAACUAUUAACUACAAUAUAAAAAAGCUACACAGGAAAUUAAACAGUCAAUAGUUCUCAAGAUGCAAGGGUAUGUUUUAACUCAAUAUUUACACACUGAAAUAGCACUCAGUCCUAACCUUUAUAGCCUUUACACUGGGGUGCAGCUGAGCUCCAGGUUCCCGUUGUUGUACAGGAUAUUGUAUCUACUCCCACAAGUAUAAAGCCUGUAUUACAUGUAUAUUUCACAGAGUCCUGGUACACAUAUUGUGUCUUCACGGGAACAAAGCUUCCAUUUGAAACUGAAUUUGGAACUGAACAGACUUGCGCUAGGGAAAAAAACAAAAAUAAAUUAAACAUACAAAAAAAUAUUGUAAAAACAAUUACUGAAAAUCUAGGAUCUUCGUUGUUGGUUUAAAGUGUUCUUGGCAAUGACAACCUCUUUGUCCUAAGCUAAAUCUUCCACAGAAAUAUCAUGUACUUCUUACCUUUGCAUUGAGGUUCAGCUGAGCUCCAGUUUCCCAUCGAUGUGCAGAAUAUUGAAUCUACUCCCACAAGUGUAAAGCCUGGAUCGCAUGUGUACUUUACAAAUUCCUGAUACCCAUAUUGUGUCUUCUUGGGACUAAAGGUUCCAUUAGAAAUUGAAUGUGCACCUGGGCAGAGUAGCACUAAGAAACAAACAAAAGAAGAUAUUAAAAUAAUCACAGCAAUUGAAUUUAUCAAACUUUUCUAGGAUUUUAAUUGGAAGUAAUUGAUGAUCAAAAUGUAAGUCAGAGUACAAAAUAAUUUCAGGCAAGGAAGGACAACUGGUGAACCAGCAUCAGGGAUAUGAAUGCAUCAGACCUGGUCCAUGCAACAAUAGAAAAUGAUUCCCUGGUCUGAUGAUCACUUUUUCUUUUUCAGAUGGAUAUCCUGGUGUGUGUGAGUCAUUUACCUGGGUAAGAGAUGAUAGCAGGAUGCACUAUGGGAAGAAGGUAGGCUGGCAGAGGCAGUGUUAUGCUUUGGGCAAUGUUCUGCUGGGAACCCUGGGUCCUGGUAUUCAUGUGGAUGUUACUUGCAUCCUGCAACACCGCAAAUAUUGUCCAGGAAUGAUUUGAGGAACAUGACAAAUAGUUCAAGGUGUUGUUUUUCCUCCAAGUUCCUCAGAUCUCAAUUUAAUUAAGCAUCUGUGGGAUGUGCUGGAACAACAAGUCAAAUCCAUGGAGAUCCCAUCUCACAACUUGCAGGACUUAAAGGAUCUGCUGCCAGAUACCUCGGGACAGAGGUCUUGUAGAGUCUAUGCCUUGAUACAUCAGAGCUGUUUUGGAAGCACAAGGGGGACCUUCAUGAUAUUAAGCAGAUGGUUUUAAUGGUGUGGUUAAAGUGUAUCCAAGUGUGGAUUGAAAGGUUUUUAAUUUGGAUGAAUCAAUUUGUUUAUGGACCAACCCGAUAUUUGCACGUGUAGUAUAUAGUCCUCAAUAGUACCUCAUGCUUUAUCUUAAAAAACAAAAUAUUCUCCUUUAAGUAGUAAGUAGUGCUUACCUUUGCAGUGUGCUUCAUCUGAGCUCCAGGUUCCCGUUGCUGUACAGGAUAUUGAAUCUGCUCCCACAAGUACAAAGCCUCGAUCACAUGUAAAGCUCACAGAGUCCUGAUAUAUGUAUUGUGUCUUUAUGGGACCAAAGCUUCCAUUAGAAAUUGAAUUUGGAACUGGACAGACUUGCACUAAGGAACAAAAAUAAAUACAUAUUUAAAAACAAUCAGCAUAAAUUAUUACACUUUAUUUUCUAACAUUGUGCAAACCGUUGAUGAUCCAAUAGAAUAAAUUAAAUUAGCAUUUUUUUUAGAAAGGAUAUUCACUUUAUUAUUCUUGCUUUUUAUUUUUUUGUUUGCUUACAAUAGCAUUUUCCAGUAGUACUGGAUAGAUUGGCACUAAGGAAAGAUCAGGAAUUAAAUUCCUCAUUACAAAUGGAAAAUAAUAUUUUAUUUAAAAAAAAUAAAUGUGUUUUAGUCCUUAAUAUAUAAGGCAGUCCUUACCUUUGCACUCAGGUUCAGCUGAGCUCCAGGUUCCUGCUUCUGUACAGGAUAUUGAAUCUACUCCCACAAGUAUAAAUCCUGGAUCACAUGUGAAGUUCACAGAGUCCUGAUACACAUAUUCUGCCUUCACUGGAUCAAAACUUCCAUUAGAAACUGAAUUUAGGACUGGACACACUUGCACUAUAGAACAAAUAAAAAUGUAUUUUGAAAUAAUCAAUGUACAUUGUCUAAGAUCUUGCAAGGAAUAAGUGAUCCAAUAUACUAUUCACAUUACAAUAUAACUUCAGAUGUCACUAAUGUUACAGAGAAUCGUCAUGUUGUGUAGUUUGUCUUCUUGGGAUCAAAGCUGCCAUUUGAAAUUUAGGAUUUUGAAUUAGCCAGGUUUGCACUGGGGAAAAAUCAUUAGUUGAAUCCAUCAUUGCAAAUAGAAAAGUAAUUAUUUUCCUAAAAAAAUAACUGUAUACUAGCCCCUGCAAUAUUAGGCAUUCCUUACCUUUGGAACUGGACAGAUUUGCACUAUGGAACAAAUAAUAAUAGAUUCCUAAUAUAUAAAGCCUUAUAAAGUCCUUACCUUUGCACGUAGGAUCACCUGGACUCCAGUUUCCCGUUGCUGUACAGGUUAUUGUAUCUACUCCAACAAGUAUAAAGCCUGGAUCACAUGUAAAGUUCACAGAGUCCUGGUAUAUGUAUUGCGUCUUUAAGGGAUCAAAGCUUCCAUUAGAAACUGAAUUUGGAACUGGACAGGAUUCCACUAAAAACAAACAUAAACAUCUGGUUUAUCUGUGUUGUAGUAUUUGAUGAUUCAACACAUUUACAAAGCACAGAAUAAUUUCAGUUUGCAUACAUUUUAUAGAGUAUUUUUUUUUACUUUGCAAUCCUUACUUUUUUGUGUUUAGAACAAUACUCACAAAUAUUGAUGCCAUACACCCCAAAACAAUUCCCCCAGCAGUUUAAAAGAAAAUGAGGGCAAACAUUUAAAGAAAGUAGCAUAAAAACAUUUUUUUUUAUCAGCUAGCUCAACACUUAACAAGAAUAAAAAAAUCUGGUUUGCGUUGUCAUGUGUGCUGGGCGUUUUUUUUCUUCUAUUUGUUUCAUGACUCAUUAUUUUCAUAUUAUGAAGUAUGUGGGUGAUUUAAACUAUCAUCUCUUUAACCUCCAGGUCACAACUUGAGGCCACGUUCUACUGACAGAAUCACAUGAAGAUAUUCAAUCUUCCCACCAAACGAUCACUCAGCUCCACCUUCUUGGGUAAUUACUUUUUUGACAUGUUACUUUACAUUGUACUGAUCAGUGGGUGGGAAUAUAAGGAUCAAAUUUCAGAAUGUUUUAAAAUAUUUUGAAAUUCAUAUGUAUUCUAUUUUAUAAGGUAGUCCUGCAAAUAUUUUUAUGUUUUGCUGACACUGACGAGCUCGGUGAGGGUGUUGUGAAAGCAAUUUUGCUACAAAAAGCAAGCUUUUAAAGCAAAAACCUCAUCCAAUAUCCUCACUGACAAAUGCUAUAUUUAUCGGCAUCAUAUAUAAUUAUCCACCUCAGUGUUAAAGGGACACUAUAGGCACCCAGGCACUCGUGCUCAUUUAUGUGGUCUGGGUGAAGUGUCCCAGUACCCGUAACACUGCAAAGCUAAUUAUUGCCGUUUUUAUAAAAUGCAAUAAAUAGCCUUGUGGGUUAACUCCACCUCUAGUGGCUGUCUACCAACCAGACCGCGAGACCUUAAAAGAACCAAAUGAAUCAAAUGUAAAACAGCAAGAAAGGUUUCAGCUAAGAUCCAGGUAAAUAGUCAUCUGUAUUGAACACUUCUUUCCACUGCCUUAAAGGGAAUCUAUAGUGCCAAGAGAACAAAGUAUUUUUCCUGGCACUAUGACUCACUAUAAUGCUCCCCUCCCUCCCUCCCCCUUCCUGUGGUGCAGAACAGGGCCGGACUGGGGAUUCCAAAGCAGCCCUGGAAAAAAAAAUCUAUGCCAGCCCCAUAAGUCAUUGCGCCAUAUAUUGUCGCAUGUAAUAUGUAAGGCUAUGUCUUGCCACCCUAGAUGAUUGAUAUAUAUAUAUAUUGCUUUUUCCAAUAUAAAAUAUUGGUCCUUUCAGAGUAAAAUUUUUAAUUAUACAGUAAGCAUACUCACAUGCAGACACAGACAAUCUCACUGACACAAGCUGAUUGAUACACAGCCUCAUAGACAAACAAUCUCACUGAUAUACAUAAGGUCAUUGACAUAAAAACACAAGCUCACUCAGUAGCAGGCACACACACAAACACACACACACAAGCAAGCCCACUCACUAGCAGGCACGCACACACACACACAGAUUAAUGUAGUGACUCUGGUGUCUAUAGCCUGUCCCUGCAGGCUUUUCAAUGUAAACACUGACUUUUUAGAGAAAAGACAGUGUUUACAUUGCUUCCUAGUGACAGACACUCAGACGGUCACUAGAGGUGCUUCCUGUGUCAGUGCGGAUUGGCUGAGAUCAUCAAGCUUGAUAAUCUCAGCCGUAGAGGCAGGGCCAGUCGAGGGGAAACCAGCACGACAUGGGGGAAAAAAAGGUGAGUAAAAACACACAUACACACACACAUACCAUGACAGACACACACCAUGACACAGACAGACUGUUACACAGACACACAAACACACACACACCGUGACACAGCCAGAAACACAGACACACCAUGACAGAGACACACACACACACCAUGACACAGAGACACACACAUACCAUGACAGACACAUACCUUAAAAAAGACACACACUCCUUGACACACACACACCAUAACACAGACAGACCGUGACACAGACACACACACACCGUGACACAGACACACAUUACAUGACACAGACAGACACACACACAUCACGACACAGAGAGACCGUGACACAGACACACACCGUGACACAGACAGACACACCGUGACACAGACUGACACAUAUUACAUGACACAUAUUACAUGACACAGACAGACACACACACACACCAUGACACAGACAGACCGUGACACAGACACACAUUACAUGACAGACACACACAAUGACACAGACACACAUUGCAUGACACAGACAGACACACACACCAUGACAGACAGACGCAGAUACCAUGACAGACAGACAUACACACCAUAACACAGACGCACACACCAUGACACAGAUGCACACACCUUGACAGACAGAGACACACACACCAUGACAGACAGAUACACACACACCAUGACACAGACAGACAUACACACACACAAUUACACAGACAGACACACACAAUGACACAGACAGACACACACAAUGACACAGACACACACACCAUGACACAGACACACACACAAAUCACACAGACAGACACACAUACACUCACAGUGACAUAAUUUCUACCUGUGUGCUGGCAUGGGGAGUUCUGAUGGCGGUCGCAGGGUUUGCUGGCUGUGCUGGCGGCCGCAGGGGGAGCUGGCUGUUCUAUCUCUCCUCCCCCUCCCCAGCACGCCACUUAAUGAGACCGGGGCCGGAAUAUGACGUCAUAUUCCAGCCCUGGUCUCAUUAAGCGGCGCGCAGGGGAGGGGGAGCAGAGACAGAACAGCCAGCUCCCCCUGCGGUCGCCAAAGGAGCUCCCUCUGCGGCCGCAGGUGAGCCGGCCCCAGGUGCCGACGGCCCACCGGGAAAUUUCCCGGUAUCCCGGUGGGCCAGUCUGGCCCUGGUGCAGAAGAGGGGUAUCUUCUAUAGACUGAGCCUACAGAAACUGCUCCAAUUAUGAUGAUUUCCUCAGAAAAGCUGCCACGCUCAGCACUUUUUUCAUGGAAAAAGCUGCAGCUUUAUUGUCCAUACUCAAGAAGUCAAACAUUUUAUAACCAAACAUAUAAGCCAUCAUAAAUUGUUUUUCAACUUAUCUAAUUUACAUAGCAAGUUCACCAUGUGGAAUUCAAUAUAUUGGUAAAACUAUACAUCAAUUUCGCAGAAGCAUCUUGCAACAUGUCCAUUCAUUAUGGCCCAUCAAGAUGCAACAAUUUUGCACCACAUUCACAACUUGCAUGGCGGUGUUGCUUUACACCACACAGGGCCGGCACAACCAUAAUGCAUCACAUAUGGCCACCUUAGGGUGCCCCGGCCCAGGGGCACAAAUUUCCAGGUGACCAUCAGGAAGGAAGCUCACAGUACUCCUCUCCUGCCUGUCACUUCUUGUAGUGUGGCCAAGCACCAGAACCUUGGCUACCCAGCGCUGAGUGUUUUUUUAGGCGUAGUGGGGCCUGCGAGGGAGCUCAGGUCAAUAUCAUCAAUGAACUAAAACAAAGGUUACAUUUUAACAUUCAAUUUUUAUUAUUUGCACCUUUCCUAAUUUUCUGGUUUUUCUAACCCUUUAAAUUAAGUAUAAUAUGUAAAAUUAUCAAUAAAAAUGAAAAAAAAAAAUACAACACAAUAGUGAUUUUAAUGUUAGUGUGUGCUUUAACUCAAAAAGUUAAAUCACUUUCCAAAACAGCACUUACUCCUUACCAUUGCACUCAGGUUCAGUUGAACUCCAGUUUCCCAUUGCUGAGCAUGAUAUUGUAUCUACUCCCACAAGUAUAAAGCCUGGAUCGCAUGCAAACAACACAGAGUCCUGGUAUAUGUAUUGAGUUUUAUUAGGAUCAAAGCUUCCAUGAGAAACUAAGUUUGGAACAGGGCAGACUUGCACUGACGAACAAACAAACAAACAAGUAAAUAAAUUAAUAAAUAUAAAACCAGUUCAAUUAGAAUAUCUAUAUUGUGAAAUUGAUGGUCAAACACAUAGCGUAAAGUACACAAUAAUUUCAAGUUACAGUUGUAAUUAAAACGAUUCAACCCCUCUUAAAAAUCAGGGUGAUUGUCAAGAUUUACAGACAAUGAUCAAAUCAAACACAAACAAUUUAAAUUGCUCAACACAACCAAUUACGUUUAGUUGCAUUUUCAGUUGAAUUCGGGGAAACCACUUGAAGCAUUCGUUGUGUCGAACUAUUUCACUUGCUUUUUUUUUAUUUGCUCAUUGCAAACAGCUGAAUGUCCGUAAAAUUCAGUGAAGGUUGAAUAAUUAUGAUUACAACUGUACAUUCACUUGAUAAAUUUUUUUUGCUGCUUUUAUCUGUUUUUGUUUUUUUAACAUGUUCAGAACAACAUUUUAAAUAUAGAAAUGGCAUGCUGGUUCGAGACACUUUUGAGAUACAACCUUCAACACUAAAAAAAGUUGAAAAUAUGGCCAGCACUCAGGGAAGACAAUAUUCCAAAUGAUGAAGUGGUUAAGAAGCUAUUUUCUUCGUUAGGUGACUGGUUUUUGUACUAUGAGGUUCUCUUGUUGAUUUUAAAUAUCUCCUCUCUAAUUCUAAAUAUAGGGUCAUUACCGUUACACUGAGGUUCUACUGAGCUCCAGUUCCCCAUUGCUGUGCAGGAUAUUAUAUCUUCUCCCACAAGUAUAAAGCCUAGGUCACACGUAAAGUUCACAGAGUCCUGGUAUACGUAUUCUGUCUUCAUGGGAUCAAAACUUCCAUUAGAAAUGGAACUUGGAACUGGACAGAUUUUAACUAUGGAACAAAUGAAAAUAAAAACAAGCAAUGUAAUGUCUAACUCUGUGCUUAAAGGUAGAUCUACCACCAAAGUUUCAUAUAGUUCUAACCUUUGCACUGAGGUUCAGAUGAACUCCAAGUUCCUGUUGCUGUACAGGAUAUCGAAUCUGCUCCCUCAAGUAUAAAGCCUGGAUCACAUGUAAAGUUCACAGAGUCCUGGUAUAUGUAUUCUGAUUUCAUGUGAUCAAAUAUUCCAUUAGAAAUGGAGUUUGGAACUGGACAGACUUGCACUGAGGAACACAAAUAAAUAUAUAUUUAAAAACAAUCAGCUUAAUGAGUUCUCUUUAUUUUCUAACAUUGAGCAAACAGAUGAUGGUCCAAUAGAAUAUAUUAAAUUUGCAUUUUUUAGAAAGGAUAUUUACUUUGUUAUUCUUCAUUUUUAUUUUUUGUUUGUUUAGAACAGCAUUGGCAGGAAAGAUCAGGAGUUGAAGUCACCUAUACAAAUGUCAAAUAAUAUUUAAUAUAAAAAAUUGUUUUAGCUCCUGAUAUAUGUUUUAGCAUACCUUUGCACGUAGGGUCACCUGAACUCCAGUUUCCUGUUGCUGUGCAGGAUAUUGAAUCUACUCCUACAAGUAAAUAGCCUGGAUUACAGGUAAAGUUAAGUGAGUCCUGGUAUAUGUAUUCUGUCUUCAUGGGAUCAAACCUUCCAUUAGAAACUGAAUUUGGAACUGGACAGACUUGCACUAAGGAACAAACAGAAAUAUAUUUUGAAAACAAAUCUGUGUGCAGUGUCUUUGGAAAGUAAUAAGUAAAACGAAAUGCCAUUCAAUUUCAUGGAGAAUUUUCAUAAUGUAAUAUUUUUUUAGCAUGUUUAGAAUGGCAUUUACCAAUAUGCUAAUACCAUAUUGGAGCAAUUAACCCCAAAGGCAAUAUACAAAUGGAAACAUGGCCACCAAUUCUGAAAGUGCUAGGAGACAACAUUAUUUCAAAUCACACUGUAUUUUUUUUAACAAUUAUUAUUAUUAUUAUUAUUAUUUAAAAAAAAAAAUCUUUUGUUUUAAUUAUAUUGUUUACAAUGCUUAGCCAAGGUUCAAAAUUAGAGGCAAAUUUAACUAGCAAAUUCUCCAAAAAAGUCCAAUCCUCUGAAAAACAUAAAUUGUUAAAUGACUCCACUAUCAUAUUCACCUACAAUUUUUUUGUUGACAGCAUCAUAUAGUGAUCUUCACCUUACUUGUAAUAGAAUAAAAGUAGAGAUAGGGCUCAAUUUGAUUUGCCAUAAUCUCAAGGAUACUAGUAAGCGAAGGACAAUUUUCCAGAAUUCGAGAGAUCCACAUUCAUUCUUCUUCUUUUAUAUACAGUGACUUCAGUUAAUUGGAUUUCUAAAUAAAAAGCUAAAUAAUGAUGCUGUAUAUAAUGUUGUACAUAAUAACUUUAUAUACUCAGACAUAAUAACUUUAUAGUGUGUAUUUAGUGGUUUUACCAAUAGAAAGGGGAGUUUUCCAAGCAGGACGGUUGGACAAUAUGUUUGUGCACCUAAUUCCCAUUAUUCUGCAAGUGAGUAUACUGGUCUUAAAGCAUCAGUUCAAAUGGAAAAUGAAUGGUUAAUACUUCUCAGAAGUCACUGCAUGAUUUAUCUCAAAAAGCUAUAUCUAUCUCUUAAAGAGGAAAGCAGUCCUUACCUUUGCACUCAGGUACAGCUGAGCUCCAGUUUCCAGUUGUCAUACAGGAUAUUGAAUCUAUUCCUACAAGUGUAAAACCCAGAUCACAUGUAAAGUUCACAGAGUCCUGGUAUAUGUAUUGUGUCUUCAUGGGAUCAAAGCUUCCAUUAGAAAUGGAAUUUAGAACUGGACAGACUUGCACUAAGGAACAAAAAUAAAUGUAUAUGUGCAUGUAUUCAAAGUAAAGAAUAAUUAAAAUUUGCAUUAUUUUUAGAGAGACUUUUUCACUUUGUUAUGCUUAAUUUAUCUAUCGUUUGUUUAAUAAGAAUAGCAUUCUCAGGUAUUUUCCAGUCACACUGGUGCCAUGCACCCAUGAGAUACUAACCUCAACAGUGAAAAAAGUAACAAAUAGGGCCAACUGUAAGAGAAACUGCAAUGAAGUAUCAGUAAUUUUAUGGUUUAAAAUAUGACUUCUAUAUUGCCAAAUCUUGGUUACAACUGGAGGCCAAAAACUACACGGAACAAAAUUGUAAACGCAACGCUUUUUUUUUUUUUUUUCACAUUUUUUCAUGAGCUGAACUCAAAGAUCUAAGACUUUUUCUAUGUAAACAAAAGGACUAUUUCUCUCAAAUAUUGUUCACAAAUCUGUCAAAAUCUGUUAGUGAGCAGUUCUCCUUUGCCUAGAUAAUCCAUCCACCUCUGGUGGAAAUUCCUGCAAUCUUGCAUGCCAAUUGCACGCUCGCUGAAAACUUGCAACAUCUGUGGCAUUGUGCUGUGUGAUAAAACUGCACAUUUUAGAAUGGCCUUUUAUUGUGGCCAGCCUAAGGCACACCUGUGCAAUAAUCAUGCUGUCUAAUCAGCAUAUUGAUAUGCCACACCUGUGAGGUGGAUGGAUUAUCUCAGCAAAGGAGAAGUGCUCACUAACACAGAUUUAGACAGAUUUGUGGACAAUAUUUGACAGAAAUAGGCCUUUUGAAUACAUAGAAAAUGUCUUAGAUAUUUGAGUUCAGCUCAUGAAAAAUGGGGGCAAAAACAAAACUGUUGUGUUUAUAAUUUUGUUCAGUGUACUUGCAGGUCCAUCUAAAAAAUGGCAUAUAUUCCAACAACUAAAUUAUGAAUUACUCCAACAUCAUCUCUGCCUACACCAAAUAGUACUGAGUAUUAUUUUGUGUGUCAUGCAACUUCCACAAUCAACAGUAAACACAGUUCUGAGUACCAGUAUUGACAAUUAAUUUGUGCACCUAUCGCCAAUUAAUCUUGAGUAAGUGCUGGGAUAAUUUAAUCAGUACUAAUAUAAAACAAAUAGCAAUAAUUUUUAAAAUGUUAUAAAACGUAAUCUACCUCCUGAAAUAAUAUGUAGUCCUUACCAUUGCAAUGAGGUUCUACUGAGCUCCAGUUUCCCGUUGCUGUGCAGGAUAUUGUAUCUACUCCCACAAGUGUAGAGCCCUCAUUACAUGUAUACUUUACAGAGUCCUGGUACAUGUAUUGUGUCUUUAUGGGAUCAAAGAUUCCUUUAGAAACUGAUUUUGGAACUGGACAGAGGACUAAAGAACGAAAAGAAAUAUACGUAGAAAAGCAAUCAGUACAAAUUGGUUAUCUUUACAUUCUAACAUUUUGCAAACUGCUGAUGAUCCGAAUAGACUAAAUUAAAUGUGCAUUGUUUUUUAGGUCAUUUUUACUUUGUUAUUCUUUUUUUUUUUGGUUAGAAUAACAUUUUCCAGUAUUUUUGCAGAUACAGUGGUGAGCCACUAACUUAAACAGCAUAGAAGUAGGACCAAAAAAUGCAAAUAAGACUCAUUAUUUCAGAUCACUUAGUAUUUUAGAAAAAACAUUUGCUGUUUGCAUUUGCAUGACUGCCUGGCACAAAACUGUUUAACGUCUUCCAAUUUCCAAGAAGUUGCUACUAAAAAAAAGUCAGUCGCCCACAGCUCGCACUAUUCUAUGAGGGACACAUUUAAUCUAAUUGACUAAUUGAUACCCUGUGUAAUCUCUCUGUUGAAAAGCAGCGAUGAUGAAGUGUCAUAAUUCCAUGUUUACUAUUUUGAAGGCUUAAUGUCAGGUUUAAAUCCUGUACUGAGAGUAAAACAAUUGCAUAUCAGAGGUACACCCAAUGCUUGAUAUCUAAGAGAAGAGACACACACAUACGUUGUCUGUUAAAAUUCUGGUUCAUUCCGCGGUCGCACGAGUCUUUUAUGCUAUGUACAUAAGAAAUUGUGUACGUGCAAAACGGCAUGUCCAUUCUUCACGGCAUGUCCAUUCUUUUCCUGAGAAACCAAACUUAAUGAAGUUUUGAUUUCUCGUGAAAUAGAAAGCCACCGGUUAUUUACAUAGAUACAUUAUUAUAGCUACUGCAUAGAAAAUUAACUCUAAGUUACAUUUUCUUCCAUCCCUUAACACGGGGAAAUUAUUGCACUGAGCUGUAUAUUAAUGCUUCAUCUGAUACUGCUGUUCAGAUGAGAAAAUCUACUAAAUUAAAAAAAUUAAAAAAAAAUAUAAGUGUAAAAUAAACUGUUUUCUUUCGUUUGAUGUUUGUCAUAUGCACUAAUAAAUCAAGACUUUUUUGGAUAAAAAAUAUGGCUUCUACAAGGCUAAAGUUCAGUUCACAAUUGGAAGUUAAACUUUACUGGCAGUUUCAACUAAAAAUCUCAGUUUUUCCAAAAAUGUAAUUAGAAAGUGACUUCAACAUUAUCUUUGCGAUUUUUGUUUUUUUGGGGUGAGGGAUUUUUUUAUGGAAAAGAUCAAUUUGGAGGUCCAUUUGGCAGGAUCUUUGGGAUCACUAUAGACCUUUUUUUUGUUUUUCAGAACUCUUCAUUAAUUUGAGUUUCUCAGCAAUUAGCCAAGCCAGGUAGAGUUUUAGUAUAAAUUUAGAAUGUCUUUAGGGAUCUGGUAGAUGAGUCUAUCAAUAGCUAAUUAGACUAUUUGACUUGAGAAUGGAUGAAUAGCCGAAAUUCAGACAAAAAUGAGUUCCUUCAAAAAAGUAUGUCCAAGUAUAUUAGUUAUCACAUCUUAUAAUUACUUUUUUUCUCUGAGGAUGCAUUUACUGAUUACUAUUUAAUGUGAUGCACAACCACAAUCAGUAGAAAAGACAAAUUACUGGUGUUUCUAAAGCAAACGUGUUGCCAUUUAAUCUGGGGUUACAUUUUACAAUAGAAAUGAAAAAUGAAUGGACCAUGAAUAUAAAAUUCUAAAACUAGUCCUUACCUUUGCAUUGAGGUUCAGCCGAGCUCCAGGUUCCCGUUGCUGUGCAGGAUAUUGUAUCUACUCCCACAAGUGUAAAGCCUACAUUACAUGUAUAUUUCACAGAGUCCUGGUAUAUGUAUUGUGUCUUCUUUAGAUCAAAGGUUCCAUUAGAAAUGGAAUUUGGAACUGGACAGACUUGCACUGAAGAACAAACAAAAAUAUAUAUUUGAAACAUUAAGUGCAAACUGGUUUGUAUGGCAAGGUAAUUGGCCAUUUUUAUUUAUCGAUAUUGUCACACCCACAGUAUGUAAGAAAAUUAAAAUUUUUGCUUUUAUACUAAUAUUCUACAGCCUGUGAGAAUUGUGUAAAGGAUACGCUAUAUUGUCUAUAGCUUUUCAUUUCACAAAUGUUUUUAUGAAGGAUGAAUGAAUAAGUGAAAAACCAAAAUUGUGUAAACUUACAUAGUAUCACUUUUUAGGAUUGUCUGCAAAGUAAUCUAUAUACAAAAAAAGCUGUGUUUUGAUACGUUUAUAUACCAGCUAUGUAUCCUUUGCGUUAAAUAAAUGUUAUACUUUUAUUUUUUAAAUAAAAAAAAAGUGCGCUGUAGUAAAGGGGUUAAGGAUUUUAUAGAUUAGUCAAUAAAUAACUGACUACCUUUUACUUGUGUAAAUCACUUUAUAUUUUCAAAGUGACUACCAGUGUUAAAAUCAGCAGUCCAAAUAGAAAAUGAACGGACAAUAUUUAUCAAAAUAGUUUUGCGAACUCUAACUCAAAAAGCAAAUCUCUCUCUUGAAGUAGCAAACACCUUACCUUUGCACUGAGGUUCAGCUGAGCUCCAGGUUCCUGUUGCUGUACAGGAUAUUGUAUCUACUCCCACAAGUAUAAAGCCUGCAUUACAUGUAUAUUUCACAGAGUCCUGGUAUAUGUAUUGUGUCUUCUUCAGAUCAAAGGUUCCAUUAGAAACAGAUUUUGGAACUGGACAGACUUGCACUAAGGGACAAACACAAAUAUAUAUUUGAAAAUACAAGUGCAGACUGGUUUGUAUUUAUUUCCUAAUAUGUUGCAAGUAAAAUGUGAUCCCAAAAACAAAUUAAGGUAUAGAAUAAUUUCAGAUUUCAUUGAUCAUAUAGAGAAUUUUCUUGUUACAAUCAUUGAAUCCUUGUUUUUUAUGUGUUGGGUUUUUUAAACAUGUUCAGAAUUAAAUUUGUUAAUAUGUUAUUGCCAUGCUGGUGAAACACGCCCCAAAGACAGUAGAUCAAACAUUGUAAAAGUGGAAAUUAUGGCCAACUCUUGGUAAAAGUACAAAGGGUAGACAUUAUUGCAAAUCCCCUAGUAAUGAAGAAUGAGUCAAGACAUUACUUUGUUUGGUGGCACUUUUUUCUUUCUGUUAUGAAUUACUUUUAUAUUUAUCUCCUCUACAAUGAGAUAAUUGAAUGAAUUGUAGAAAGUAUCAACCACAAAUUCUCCUAAGUCCGAUCGUUUGACCAAAUACAUUAUCAAAUGUUUCCACCCUCAUCCUCAUCUUGAAAUAUUUCUUUUCUUUUCAUUUUUUUUUAUCAGCAUCACAAGUUUUAAUUUCCAUCUCUCUUUCAAUGGAAUGAGCAAAUAGAUAGUGGUCAAUUGGAACAUUAUUUGCAAGGAUCUCUGAGUCUCCCGUUCUUUCUGUUUCUUUCUGCACAGCCUUUAGCAACUUGGGUUCCUCAAGAACUAAAGAGCCAAGCAGGGAUGUUUAACCCCUGUAUAUAAUAGUGUAAGAUAAAGAACACUGUAUCACUGUAUACUGGCUAAAAUGUUACAUUCCAAAUAUUUUAUUUCACAAAUAUUUUUAUAAAGGAUGAACAUUAGGCCCUUGUCGACAGCAUGCUACACACCAAAAUGCGAGUAGUGCCGUUUGUUUAUUUAUUAAUUUGUUUUGUUUUUCACAUGCUAUGGGUAGUACCUUUUGAUUUGACUUUUGAUUUAUUUUGUCAUAGUUCAGGGCUAGCAAGUUUAGGUAGACAAUAGCAGAUCUCGCGGCAGUGCUGACGUAAUUAUGGUCCUUGUGCAUGCUUCAUUUAUAUCAUUUGUUUUUUUUCCGUUUUUUUUUUUUUUGAGGGGCCAAUAAAUUGAUACCUUCAUUUAUUCACUUUUUUCCCUAGGUAUGUUUGCUAUUUAACUGUGACAAGCAAAUACUCUUGUCUAUGGCUACAUUAUGUAGGUAGCAUUUCCUGGGUAGAACUAUGUGUCACCAUUUUAUUAUAGUUGCAUUUCCAUUCAAAGGGUUUAUUAUCUAAAUAGUGAUUUUGGUGUCCACUGGGGCAGAUAUAUAUAUUGGACCUUCUCAGGUGAUUAAUUUGCAACCCCUCUUCUGUUUUUUUAGGGAAAGGAGCUCAAUUAAUUUAUCCUCCUUUCUCCCUUCUCUAAUUUGCUCUUUUUUGAGCACCUUAUUGGAUCCUGUUAUUAUUUAUAAAAUAUUUUUACUUAUAAUAUAUUUUACCAGGAAAGAUACAUUGAGAUUUCUGUCCUGGGUCCACAAAACAUUGCAUUAAUACAAUAGGGUACAAUCAAAUACAAAAACAAUAUGGUGAAGAAAUUACUGUUAUUUUUUGUUAUUUAACUUUUUUCCGUUCAGCAGUUGAAACUACCGAACACAGACCACCCCCCUGGCUCGUUAACUACAAGGAAUUAGUGCUCUCCCUGUGUGGCCAUCUUGUUUGCAUGAAAAGAGGCAGCAGGACUUGGUCGUCGAGUGUCAUGAACCAAAAUCGGACACUCGACUUCCCGAACACCAGUCAAACCAUACAAAUGCCUGCUUCCUUUUCCCGACCAGCUAGGAGAGUGCUGUUCAAUAGUUUUGUUCCUACAAACUAGGGGAACAAAUGCUACUAUGAGCCAGGGAGUACUGUUCGUGAUUUUAUUCGGUUUCGAGACUUUCCUAAAUAGACCGACCGAACAACCUGAACUCAUGGAACUGUUUCUAGGUGAGAGCCUCAUGUGCGGCCAGUCAAACUAAGAAAUCCAUGAAACUACCGAACCCCUGAACUGAUCUGGGUGAUUUUUGGAUAUGUUGGUCACCCAGAUAAGGACUAUCAGGGGAUAUGACAUUUAUAGAGAUGUUAUGUAUUUUAGGGGUGCUUUUGAAGUUUUGGGGAAAAAUGUGUUUUUCUGCCUGGAGAUAAUUGAGUUAUUACAGUAUCUGACGCAAUUAUCUCCCAGGCAGAGAGGAGGGAUUAUGUGUUUACUGUGGGAGUGUUAUACUUUGUAAACCUAUUGUGAUUGGUGUACAACUUUGUAUUGGAGUCCCCAACAAGGUCCAUGUGGGAGUAACCCUUGCAUGGGGACUUGCAUAAAAGGCACCCAUUAAAAUCAUUCCUGUUACACCCUUCAUCUAGUUUCGGCUGAUGUUUGGGUGGCUGUCUACUUUACUGGGAGAAUACACUUGGGAGACUGACAUUCGUAUGGAGAAUCGUUCGAAUCAACACCCGAACUGUGAGCUAUAAUCACUCAGGCUCAGGCAGUUUGGAGGAAAUAGGCGAAUGGGUAUCUACUAUACCAGCGUUCGUUACAAAUAUUAAUACACCAUUUACAAAAUUUAACAUAGAACAACAUGUAGGAAAAAUAUAAUCAACCAUGACAGGUGCAUUCUGUUAUGAGAUAUGUGGAGAGGGAUCUCUUAAAGGACUUUAGGCUUGGGAAAGAUUUGAAAGUGUGCGGGAGGUCGUUCCAUAAUUGUGGUGCUCUGUAGGAUAAGGAGGAUCGAGCUGCUUUCUUUUUGUAUUGACGUACACUAAAUAAAGUGACGGUACUGGAUUGGAGGUUAUAGGAGGUGGGAACAGCCGAAGAGAGCAUUCUGCUCAGUUAGGGUGGGAGUUUCCCAGAAAAGCUUUUAAACAUAAGGCUGGAAAGGUGAAGGGUGCAUCUGGAUUCCAGCAACAGCCAGUUUAGUUCUUUUAGCAUGUCACAAUGGUGGGUCCUGUAAUUACAUUGUAGCACAAAUUGGCAGAAAAAGUUAUACAAUGUAUUAAGUUUAUUAAAGGACCACUAUAGGCACCCAGACCACUUCAGCUUAAUGAAGUGGUCUGGGUGUCAGGUCCAGCUUGGGUUACCCGACGCGACGCAUUCAGCCGAGGAGGAGAGGAGGCGGAGAGCUCCCUGCCCUUCCUCACCCUAGAGCCCGGUGGGAGGGGGACCCUGAGGGUGGGGGCACCCUCAGGUCACUAUAGUACCAGGAAAACGAGUAUGUUUUCCUGGCACUAUAGUGGUCCUUUAAGGUGGAUUUGCGGUGCAGGUGCAUAUACUACAUCCCCAUAACCAAUCAUUGGCAUCAGCAUUUGCUGUGCAAUAUUUUCCUUUACUGUAGGGCUUAGGCAGAAUUUGUUUAUGUACAGUUUGGGAUAAAGUUUAGAUGCAAGUAUUUCUAUGUGGAGGCCAAAGAUAGAUUGGGGUCUAACAACAUCAGCCUGUUUGUUCCUCCCUAUCAAUGAGAUAUAGAUACAUAGAUAAUAUCUUUUGUGAUAUGAGAGACUGACUCCUGAUCACUUGCAAGGUUCCCUGUAUCUAUCUUAAGGGCCUUCUCUUGACAUAAUAAUUAGAACAUUAUUAGCAACUAGUCAUUCUAUGUGUAGCUUUACCUUAGUUGGUUAAUAAAAGUUAGGGUCUCCUGCCCCCAAUUUAAUACUGUUCUCUGGUAUUCUUCUGACUUGAGGCUCCUGAGUUUGUUUUGUUUUAUGAGAAAGCAGCUAUUACCUUUGCACUGAGUUCCAGUUGAGCUCCAGUUCCCCGUUGCUGUGCAGGAUAUUGAAACUACUCCCACAAGUGUAAAACCUGGAUUACAUGUGAAGGUCACAGAGUCCUGAUAUAUGAAUUGUGCCUUUAUGGGGACAAAGCUUCCAUUAGAAAUGGAAUUUGGACCUGGGCAGACUUGCACUAAAAAACAAAAAUAAAUAUAUAUUUCAAAGGAAUCAGUAAAAAUUGGUUAUCUUUAUUAACAAUGUGCAAACAGUUGAUAAUCAAAUAGAUUAAAUUAAACUUGCAUAUUUUCUUAAAGGACUUUUUUACGCCGUUAUUCUUGCUUUUUAUUUUUUAUUUGGUUACAGUAGCUACCUCGAGUAGAUUUACACUGAGUAAACAUCAGGUGUUGGAUUCAUUAUUACAAAUGGAAAAGAAUACUGAAAAAAAACGAUGUUUUAACCCAAGAAAUAUAAUCUACUCCUUACCUUUCCACACUCCUGUUUCUAUGCAGACUAUCAAAUCUACUUCUACAAGUAUAAAAUAUAUUUUGAAACAAUCAGUUCAAACUGGUUUGUUUAUAAUUUUGCAAGUAAUAGGUGAUCCCAAAAAUAAUUGAAAAUACAGGAUAAUUUCAGGUUACUUUGAUUUCAUAGAGAAUUCUCAGAUUGCAUAUAAUACAUAGGGUAAAUCCAGCUAAGGGAGACAAAAGUAGAAUAUAGUGCAACACUGUAGAACCCAAAUCGGGAGAUAUAUAUGUUCCAAUGGAUCAUUCACACUUUGUAUUCAAAGUAUAGGCAUUCAGGUGGUCUUUGAACGUCAACCUUCUCAAUUAUUGGUAAUAUGGGUCUUGAUUAUAUGUAAGAAUAAAGUAUAUUACAAUAAAGUGACUAUUAAAACAAUUGUGUAGUACAAAAAUGUAUUACUUACACAGAAGUUAAAAACAGCUGGCAUGAGGUAAAAAGGUGAUAUCAACACAUUGAACUCAUUCAACGCGUUUCAUCCCUGUCGGGGACUUCCUCAGGAAUUGGCACUUGUUCUUAACUGAAAACCAUUCUUGAGGAAGUCCCUGACAGGGAUGAAACACAUUGAAUGAGUUGAUAUCACCUUUUUACCUGAUGCCAGCUGUUUUUAACUUCUGUGUUUGUAAUACAUUUUUGUACCACACAAUUAUUUUAACAGUCACCUUAUUGCAAUAUACUUUAUUCUUACAUAUAAUCAAGACCCAGAUUAGCAAGAAUUGAAAAUUUGAAUGAGUUGAUAUCACCUUUUUACCUGAUGCCAGCUGUUUUUUGGUUUUUUUUGAACUUCUGUGUAAGUAAUAAAUUGUUGCACUACACAAUUGUUUUAACAGUCACUUUAUUGGAAUAUACUUUAUUCUUACAUAUAAUCGAGACCCAUAUUACCAAGAAUUGAGAAGAUUGACGUUCAAAGACCACCUGAAUGCCUAUACUUUGUAUUCAAAGUGUGAGUGACCCAUUGGCACAUAUAUAUCUCCCUAUUUGGGUUCUACAGUGUUGCACUGUAGUCUACUUUUGUCUGCCUUAGCUGGAUUUACCCUAUGUAUUGUAUGCAUGUUGAUUGAAGAUUUGAGGAGAUCUUCGGGGUAAUCCUAAACUUAAAGGGAAGCUAAGCAUUUACUCAUUACCUUGUGUAUUUAAUUCACUCUAUUCACCUACUAGUGCAUUUAAAAAUACAGUCACUUUAUUAUAAUCCACUGUGAUAUAGUGGAAGAUUUUUUGUAUAUUUUUUUACGUUAGAAUUCAGAUUGUUAUCCUUCUGUUUACAUGUUUGGAAUGGCAGUUAUUGUUAUGUUGUUGAUAUGCUAGAGUAACACUCCCCAAACACACUUCAUCAAACAUUAUAAAAGUUUAAAAUGUGGCCAACUCUCCAUAAAAGUACAAAGAGUAGAUUUUAUUCCAAACUUCCUAGCAACAAAGACAUUAACAUUGUAUUGGCUGCUCUUUUUUUAUUAUUAUGAAUCAUUUUGUUAGUUUAAAAUAUCUCCUCUACAACGGUAAAGUAAGGGUCACAAUUGGAAACUAAUUCUCCUGAACAAACCCAAUCCUUUGUGCAAUUAAAUAAGUAAUUUACUAAAUCAUAUUAUUUAGCUACAAUCUUUUUUUACCAGCAUCAUAUAUUUUUCUUAGUCUCACUUUCAAUGGAAUGUAAGAAGAGAUAGGGGUCAUUUUGGAAGACUCUUUGCCAGGAUCUUUGAGGUCCUUUCUAUUUCAUAUGUAGAGUCUUUAGUAAUGUAAUUUAGUUACUCUAGAAGUGAAUCAGGAAACUCAUAUAUAAUAUGUGUAUAAGAAUAUUUUAGAUGAGCCUAGAGUAGCUGAUAAGGUUUUGCUAGCUUAAAUAUUUUUUUUAUCCUCUAAGUAACUACUAGAAUGCACAGUUACCUACCUAUAUACCAAAUAAUAUUAACUUUACCUUAUUUUCACACCUUCAAACCCUUAUUUCUAAAAUAAAUCUUCUCAUAUUUAAAGAGGUUUCAUUGGAGUUUUAGAUCUUUGUUUAGAUGUUGCACAAUAUUCUGUGUAAGUGCUGGCUUAGUUUAACAGCAAGCAGAGCUAAUGGCAAUUACUAAGAGGGUUAUUCACUAACGCUUUUAAUGUGGCUACUGUGUGAAAUUCACUUUUAAUUCUCAUUUUAGUAAAUAACCCUGUAUUUUCACAAUGCAUUCCAAAACCAGUCCUAACCUUUGCACUGAGGUACAACUGAGCUCCAAGUCCUUGCUGCUGUGCAGGAUAUUGAAUGUCCUCCGACCAGCAAAAAACCUGGAUUACAUGUAAACAUUACCACGUCUUGGUAUGCAUAUUGAGUCUUCUUGGGAUUAAACGUCCCGUUAGUAAUGACACUUGGGGGAUUACAGCCUAUGGAAAAAAAAGUUUAUAUUUUAUUGCAGAUUGUAUUAUCUCUUCUUAUAUGCAAGCUUUUAUAUUUAAUUGAUUAAUCACGCAAACUGAAGAGCAAAGUAGGAAUCUUUCACAUGUGAGUGAUUUAAGCAACUCAUUCCUUUUUAUAUGGUUUAAUGUUUUUAUCUCUUGGUUCUUUGGGUUCUACUGAGUAAUAUUUAGUGUGUGGCAUGAAGAGUCAGCUAGCAAAUAGAGGCUUUGAAUCAUGUAUUGAAGACUUAUUUCUGUUUACCAUAAAGUAGGUAUAGUACUUAAAGACAUUAUUAAUAUAUAAACGGAAUGGUCAAUAACUUAGAAAAUGUUAGUACAUCUUUUAACUCAAAAAACUAAACACAACCCUAAAAUAACAUUUUGUUCUAACCUUUGCAUUGAGGUUGUACUGUGUUCCAGUUUCCUGUUGCUGUGCAGCUUAUUGAACUUUCUCCCACGAGGGUAAAACCUGUAUUACAUGUAAAGGUCACAGAGUCCAUAAACGAGUAUUGAGACUUCUUGGGACUGAAAUUUCCAUUAAAAUCUGAAUUUGGAACUGGACAGACUGGCACUAAGGAACAAAGAGAAAUAUGUAAAAACAAUCAGUGCAAAUUUUAUUUUCUUUUAUAAUAAUUUCCUGUUUCCUUAAGUUUUUCAAUUAGUUUUUGAUAAGGAUCAAAUCAAGUGUUUGAUAAUUUAGUGUAUCUGCUCCUGUCCUGAUUAGUAGAUAUGUGCGUGCACAUUUUUCCAAAGUAAAUCACACUGGACACAAAGUUUUCAAGUUGGUGAAAGACCCAGGAAUGUUUAAGCAGGGGGCGGGGAGCCUGUUAUAAAGCACAAAUACAUCACAUGCAUAAUUACAGAUAACAGAGAAAAAUACAACAAUAAUUGGUUAGAUGUUGGGUGGUUUAUUCAGUGCACAUCCUACUGGGUGUGCAUGUUAGUAUUAUCAUGAAAUUCUCUCCUGGAUUCCAGCUCCAUCUUGGUUACACGAUGAGAGGGGGUGACUCCCAGCGGCCAUUUUGAGUAGUUACUGAAUAAUACUGAUCAUGAUUACAUAGCGUAGAUGGGCAUUUUACUAAACUAUUAUUUUGUCCACAAAAGUUUCACAAUUUCUUAAAAAAAAUAUAAAAAAAUAUUUUUAAAAUAACAUUUACCAUUAUUUUAGAAUCCCACUGAUGCCACUCAUUCUGGACAAACGACCUCCAACAGAAUAGAAGAGCACUAAAAUAAGUUCAGGUACUUAAUAAGCAGAACUCAUUGUUUCAGAUCACAGAGCACCUGGCUUUAUUUUAUUAUUUAAUUUCCUUAUGAAACUUGUUGUUUAUUGCACACAUUCAAGGACAGAAUAAUUGCAAGUUAUAAAUAGAGUUUUACGAAUAACACCAUAGAUACGGCAUAUAUAGUUGCACUCUCGGCAUGUGUUACGCUAUUUUUUCACUUGUUCUUAUUUCUAAAGUUUUGAAAAGUUCAAUAAAAUGUAUUUGAAAUGAAAGAUAUAUAAUUUCACUAUGUUUCUAGCUUUCAAUGGAUUUAUUUGUAGACAAGAGAUCUUUCCACAGUUUCUUAGUGAAAUAAAAAAAAACAAAGAAAUGAAGCCUAAAACUCACCACUUACGGUCUUUGACUCACUUAUCCCCUCUUGGAAUCCAAAACCGAAUAUCUUGUAAUAUUUAGUGUGUGGCAUGAAGAGGCAGCUAGCAAAUAGAGGCUUUGAUGAUGUAUUGAAGACUUAUUUCUGUUUACCGUAAAGUAGGUAUAGUACUUAAAGACAUUAUUAAAAUAUAAACGGAAUGGUCAAUAACUUUGACCACUGGUCAAUAAGUUUGACCAUAACUUUGACCACUUUGACACACAGUGAAAAAGUCCCUUCUUGUAUCAUUUUUUGAUGUUACGUUCAACUUGAGGACCAAAUGAGGAUCCAUAAACAAAUCGACACAAACUGAUAUGUCAUCACAAAGGUAGGGGUCCCUACCUGGUAUGCUUUAUUAUUAUUAUUAUGUUAUUAUUUAUAUAGCACCAACAAAUUCCGCAGUGCUUUACAGUGUGUGGACGAACAAACAUGUAGUUGUAACCAGACAAGUUGGACACACAGGAACAGAGGGGUUGGGGGCCCUGCUCAAUAAGCUUACAUGCUAGAGGGAGUGGGGUAAAAUGACGCAAAAGGUAAGGAUAGUAUUAGACUAAUGACAGUUGCAAGAGAGGAAUCAGUCGGGAGCUAUUAAAGGACCACUAUAGGCACCUAUAGGCUCAAUGAAAUGGUCUGGGUGCAAGGCCCAUCUAGUGUUAACCCUGCAGCUGUAAACAUGUUUGUAAACAAGUUUACACUGGGGUUAAUCCAGCCUCUAGUGGCUGUCUCAUUUUCACAGUGAGAAGACGCUGCCGUCCAUAGAAAAGCAUUGAGAAAUGCUUUCCUUUGACUGAUUGAAUGUGCGUGCGGCUCUUGCCGGAAGAGGGAGGAGAGUCCCCAGCCCCGAGGGAGCCUGGCGCUGGAGAAAGGUAAGUGUUUAACCCCUUAGCCCCUCUUGAGCCAAGCAGGAGGGGGCCACCCCUCCUCCUUUCUUGCCUUCCCUGUCUUUUCAAUAUAAAGAGUACCCUGGUAUUGCUAUGUCCCAGUCAAUUUUCUCAUUAUACCAUGUCUCAUUAACAGUGACUAAAUCUACAUUAUCAGUUGCCAUUAUUGCCACAAGUUCACGGAUCUUAUUCCUUAAAGAGUGAGCAUUUGUAGACAUGACUCUAAGCUCAUACUUUUUAACACACUUGCUAUAGGCACCUUCUAUCCUUGUUUUGGUGGGCAAUUGGAUUGAUGUUUUAUCACUCUUUUGCCCCCCCCCUCCUAGUUUAAAUACAUCCUAGCAAAACCUCUAAACUGCUCACUGGGAACAUUUGUUCCCUUUUGAGAAAGAUGGAAACCAUCUUUUUUUUUGUACAGUUUACUUCCAUUCCAAACAGAGCUACCAUAAGAAAUGAAACCAAAUCCUUGCUCCCGACACCAUUCAUCAAGCCACAAGUUAAAGUCCCUAAUACGCAUCCGCCUGUCGUUCUGAAUGUUAUGCACAGGCAGAACUUCAGAGAAUGACAGUGUGGAAGCAACCUGCCGUAUAUCUUUGGCAAAAACACAAAAAACUUCCUUUACCUCUGAAACUUCAUUGCAAGCCAAGUCAUUUGUCCCUAGAUGGAAAAUAAAUCUAAUUCACCUCCCUGCUUUGCUCGCUUAACAAUAUUACAAAUACGUCUCCUGUCUCUGUGAGCAGUAGCUCCCGGAAGACAGCUCACAAGAUCACUAUUGUCCAGCUCCACACCUCUUAUGAUAGAAUCCCCCAACAACAACUGCUUUCUAUUAGGCCUCACCAUAGUCUCCAAGCAGUCUCCAUAAUACCACUGCACUCGGUGCCCGAGUCUGUCUCCACAACUCCACUACACUUGUUACACAUGGAAGGUAAAACUGAAGAGUGAGUUUAGAACUGUGCUUUGUGUUAUAUAUAUAUAUAUAUAUAUAUAUAUAUUGAUAUAUUUUUGAUAUAUGAUAUGAUUUGUUUUUUUAAUGUGUUCAAAAAGUUAUUAGAAAAUGUUAUCCAAAAAGAUGAAAUCAUUUGUAAAGUUUAUCCAACUAUAUUAAAUGAAGGCCUAUGUCUGAAGGGUAAAUCUUACCUUUGUGUCAAUUCUUGAAGGGUGAAAAAAAAUAUUUUUUUUAUACUUACUUGAGGGUACAGAUGGUGUACAUUUAUUGGUAUUGCAACAUGUGGUAGAUAUCACUCCUCUUUCAGUAGCAUUUGUAUAUUCCACAAUUGUGUCACACUCACUUGUUUGAGCACAGUACUUUAUGAACCUAUUGAAGUAUUGAUUAUCUAUAAAAUAUUAGAAAAAUGUAUUAAAUAAUUUACAGUUAAUAUAGCAUAUAACAUGAAGGAUGAACGACAGUGUUAGUUAAACAAAUAAUUUCUAUUCUAUUACAAGUUGUAAAAUGCUCAAUAACUUACAUUAUUUUCCUUCCAUUGGUAUAGUCAACAAUAGCAUAUUAUGUCUAUUGAACAUAACAGUGUCGGUAUAGUCGAAGACCUUUGUAAUCAGUGUAAUUCAAAAAUGUACAUAGCAUCACUUGAAAUAGGAUGGCACUUUAACACACUUAGCCUAUCAAAACCAUAGAAAACUAAACAAUUUCCAAAAAUGUAUACUUAUCGUGUUUUGAAAAAAAACUAUUACAUUGAAGUUGUGAUUCUUCAAGCACAAAUCAGUCAUAAAGUUCAAUAGCAAAGCAGUAAAAAAUAUGAUUUCUAAGUCAUAGAUUGUCCGUGUAGUGUUCAUAAGAGCUAGGGAACCGGUCUAAGGUAUGCACUAUAGCAAAACACAGAAAGGGCAGUUUUUGUUGCACAUUACAUAUUAAAUAUAUUGUGCAUUUGUAUAUAUAAAUGCAUCCAUUCAUAAAAAUAUAUGCAUACAAAUACAUGUUCUUUUUGUACAUGAUAUCUAGGAGUGAAUGUUUGGGGACAUGAGAAAAGCAAGAAAUGUAGAGGAGAGGGAAUGACUGAGAGGAGAGGACUGCAGUUGGUAGGAGUGUAGUGGGGAGUAGAGAAGAGGGGGCAGAAUGGAGAAGAGUGGAGUGAGGAGAUUAGGAGAAGGAGUACAGCGGGUAAGAGUCAGUAGACGUAGAGGAGAAGGAGAGGUAAGAGAAGCAGAAAAUGGGUUUACAGGAAUAGAGUACAGGAGGGAGAAUAGAGAAAUAAAAUGGAGGCCAAUCACUAACACUAAAAGACCAGUUAGGCAGCAAUGAUGGCACCCAAUGAUUGCUAGCAUGGAACAUUUACCUCCGAAGUGUGCUGCCAUCUGCAAAAAGUUCUUGUUUUAAAAUAUGUAUAUGAUGGGACUUGGCAGCAACCUACAAUGCUACCUGGUAACCCACUAUCACAUAAGCAGUAAACUCAAAGUCCCCAUUAUGAGAACUUCCAUGGAUUUUAAAAUUUCAACUGUACCCUGCCCUAGAAUCUACUGCUAUAUUUACCCCAUGAACAGUGGCGUAAAUACUGCAGUUGCAGCUAGGACUGGGCCCAUCACUCUAGGCACCGCACACUGAGGGGCCCAUCGGGUGGACCGUGCUCUUAGAGCCACCCGAUGCAAUGUAUUUUCUGGAACCCAGUAUGCACUGUGGUGCUCCAAGAGCCCCCUGUCAUGAUGUCAGCUUGGGAGGAAGUGAUCUGUCACGUCCUCCCAGCUAACAGAGCUGCAUGGUUGGAGGAGGAGGAGAGACUUGCAAGGGAGGAGAAGGACAGGAGAGGUCAGAGUGGGAGCUCUGACUCCUGUCAGUCUGAGCCAGCUACUAGACCCAAGGGAAAUCACCCUCCUGCACCUAUAAGGUAGAAAACAGGAGGUACAGUUUGCAUGUAUCUGUAUGUGUGUCUGUGUAUCCGCACAUGUGUCAGUACAUGUGCCAGUGUUUGUAUCCAUAGGAGUGUCAUUCUGUGUAUCUGAAUGUGUGUCAUUCUGUGUGGCUAUGUAUCUGCAUGUGUGUCAGUGUGUGUAUCAUUCUGUGUGUCUGUAUCCAUAUGUGUGCCUGUAUAUCAGUAUGUGUGUCCAUGUAUAUAUCUGUUAUAUGGUAUGUAUAUGUCAGUGUGUGUUUAUCUGCAUGUGUAUGUGUAUGCACCUGUGUGUCUGUGUAUCUGUCACCCCCACACACACAGUCACCCGUCUUCACCCUGCCACACUCACAAUAACUCAGCCAAUCCUGUCAUUCACCUAUGCCAUACUGACCUCUCAUCGCUCUGCCAUACUCACCCUAUUACACUCACCUUGUGCAAUUUUUCGUACGCCUCUGCUUAUGUAUACAUAGUUCACUGCUGUCAUGGCACAACCCGAGCCCUGCAGACAGGGCUCGGGCUGACCCACCUGCAGGCCUUUUCCAAUUAGGGUUAGCUGCAUCUAAUUAGCAGGCUGUAAAAGCCAGCCCUGCCUGAAACCUAGCAUCUGGUCAUUUUGCCUGUUUGGUGUUUCCUGCUGGAUCUCUGCUUUGCUACUGACUGAUUUCCUGAACUCUGUUUUCUGCCUGCUUUACUGACUAUGUUACUCUGCUGCCAGCCCUGACUUCUGCUUCUCAUCUGACCCUGCCUUUGGAUUUCCCCUUAAUCUGUACUGCGCUUUUGGUUUUUGCCUCCUUCCCUGUGUGUUGCUUACUUCUUCCCUGUGUGUUGCUUAGAUGUGAUGGUUUUUUAAGUUGCCUUUUUUCUUUUUUGGGGAACUCAAACCCUACAUUAAAGGUUUUUUAUUUAUAUAUCUGCAUACCCAUAGAUUCCUUUUCCUGUUCGAUACUCCCUUAGCUCAUUUUGCUAGGGACUACCUACAAUCCUAAUUUUUGUUAAUACUACAAGGGUUACCCCUUAUAUAAGGUUCUAUGGACACACUAUAGAUUCCGAUCAUAAGGAAUCUUACACUUUUUUGCCGUACUAAAGAACUAAGAAAAUACAUUUUCUUUUCAUGUCUACCAUUUUGGAUUUUUAUUCCUGGUUUUGUGAAUUGUAAAAGGGUGUCUUGGAAAAUUAGGACAAUUAGUAAGGUACCUUUCCCAAUUAUUUAUUUUAUUUGUCACAUUUUAAUCAGUUCAUCCUCAACAUUUUUAUUUUCAUCCACAACAUUUUCAUCACUGAAAAAUCUUCUAUGUCACUUGAAUCUUAAUUACUGGGGUUAUAAUCAUCUUCAUCAUUAAAAUCAUACUCAGAAUCACUCUGGUCUAAUAUUCUGGCCAAUUCUUCCUCAGAUAAAAUUUUUGGUACAUCAUUUUUUUGAAUUUCGCACAUGGUAGUGCUGGCCCUAAAUAGUGUCCAAGCUCAAUACUCUAUGACCAUAGCUGACGUUUUUUUUUUCACUGAACUAUUAGUUGUUCUAAAUUUAAAUUGAAAGCAAAAUGCAAGUCAAAAUAGCAAACAUAUAACUAAAGCUGGACUGAAGAAUUUAAUUUCCAUUUUGUCUGUUUUUACCUAAAUUGUGCAAAUUGAAUUUCAGUUUAGUAUAAUUCAAAACCCGACUGUCAGACUGUCUGGCUGUGCUUCACAGUUUGUGUACUACUGUGAUGUUAUAAAAAAACAGUAGUAGCAUUACAUUAAUUUGUUCAUCCGACUUUUGUAAUAGCACAACAUUUUUACAUGCCAAAUUGCUCCAAUAUUAUGCAUGUAUUUGUCUAAAUUAGAAUGAAAAUCUAAACAAAAAUUCAGGAAAUAAUUUUUUGACUGCCCUCUGGUCUUAUAUUGACACACAAUGUGUACUAUAUAGCAAAAAAUAUAUAUAUCAAACUUUCAUUCAUGUGGUUGCUUUGUCAGGAUUCAUUUUGGGUCGUUUUAUCCGUAUUUUGCCCAUGAAAUAGUUUCAGACAAAAUUAUACCUGUCCUUACUCUUCCCUCUCUCCUUCCUUCCCCCUUCCUGGCUUCCUUCUUCCUUAAUUUUCCUUCUCACAAAUAGUUGGGGUUUUUAAAGUCGAAAUCACAAAAUGUAUCACACAGAUGCACAUGUCUAAUAUGUACUAUAUGUAUAUGGUAAAGGUUUUUUUUUUUAUAUAUUACAUCAGAUAGCACAAUUGUUAUGCAAUUAAAUUGCAUUAACAAGAUUUCUUUAAAAAAAUUAAGUGGAGGGCAAACUAAUCACCAAAAUUACUAUUAUUCAGGUGUCAGGUGUUUACUUAAUCCUUUUGUAUUGUUAGUAUUAUUCAUGUGUCAGUUGUAUACUUAAUCCACGUCAAAAUGUUAGUAUGAUCUGGUAUGUACUUAAUCCUAGUCAUUUUCAAUAAUUAUAUUGUAUUAGAGUUUCUAUAGCAAUUAAAUUAUUAUUAGUGCAAGACAUAAGCAUGUUAUGAAUAUGACUUGAUGAAGUGCCAUGUAUAGUCAGUAAUUUGUUCCCUUUCAGAACCUGUAGAAAGACCUCCUGCGUGAAAAAUGAAACAGUUGUAUUCCGCUUGGAAGCCUGUGCUGGUUACUAGGGGUAGCAACCCACAACAGCGGAAAUUUUCUAGGUGAAUAGGUUGAGUACUUCAAAUCAUGACAAUUCCCUGCUUGCCCACCCACCCCUACCGGUGCUGUUAUACCCAAUAUGGGUUAGAGGAACACAUGCAGACCCCAAACAUUUUAUGCAAUUACUGCAAGAGGAAUUGUGUCUUUUAGCUACAUGCCACCACCAUCAAAAAAUACAAAGGAAAAGUGUCAAACAGACCAUGAGGUCUUAUAGAAAUUAUGGAACUAGGAUCACUAGCAUCCACAGGCAGAGCCGGAUUUGCCAUUAGGCCACUGAGGCCAAGGCCUCAGGGCAGCAGGCAUGAGUGGGGAGGCAAGGCCUGUGGGGAGAUCAAAGAUCUCCCUUACUGGUCUGCCCUUUCUCCUGCAGUGGGGCAAACCAACGGGGAAGUCUUUUCAGCCAUACAUGAUCUUCCUCACCAGCCCUGAUCUAUUGCAUUAAAGCAUUUCCGUGAGUUACCACAGCAAUGCUCUGAUAUAUUUCCUGUGGGUGCUGACAGCAACAUUUCCUACCGGACCACCAGGGAUCAGGAUUGCCCCUUGCUGGUCCUAGGUAAGCCUCAGGCAAUGGAGUUUAUUCCCUUUAUUGAUGUAUUUAUUUUUAUUUUUAUGUAUUUUUGUAUCGCCCCCACUACCUCCAGAAACAAGCAACACCACAAUUAGCCCACGCUCACAGAAGUAACCCCACAAGCAGCAUCUUCAUAAACAUGCAACAUCACAAGCAGCUUUCCUCCACAAACACAACACCAUGAGCAACCUUCAUGCUUUUAUCCAAGCACCCCCUUCCAGCACUUAUCAUCCAACCACUCACCUACUUACAUUCACCAUACCAUCACACCCCAAACUAGUCAGAUUAUUGCAUAUAUAUAUAUUUCGAGAAGGGGGUGCAUUGAAAAAAAUGGUCUUUGGGCAGCAAGGAGUGUGAAGCCGAAUUAGAGUUUAAAACAGACAAUGUAUUGUGUCAAAUGAGAUGUACGCAAGCCACAAUUAUUCUACUCGAUUUACCUUUAGUAAAUCUCUGAAAUGCAAAUGAGGAGGUAGUUUGGUGAUUUUCCCUGGAUUAUCACUCGAUUAACCUUGUUAUUGAUGUCUGAGAAGUGAUAUAUGUAAGAACAAGAAAAAACGUAAUACACUGUAAAAUGUGAGCGUACAAUUAUAAAAUUAUAAAUGCUCUUCUUUGUUUUAAAGUUCCAUUUUGCAUGUUUCUAACUUACUUUUCAUAUACUUAGUGUACUGGGAUCCACAUACAGUUCCUUUGCAGUCUACAGUUGUUCCACUGCACAUAAACGGUGAUGGACCCAAGCAGUUUGUGCACAUGACAGAAAAACCUAAAGAAAGUAAACAUGGCAUAAAAAGGUUAAAACCAAGACUGUUUUACUAUUAAUAUGUACAGAACAUUGCUGCAGGAUUGGGGCACAGAUGGGAAAAAUAAAGAGACAGAAGACUGAUGAUAGUUAUGAUAAUAGCAAACCAUGUACUAUCGGAAAAUAAUGACAUAAUAAUUUAGAAGUGGUUGCAGAACCCCAAGGUGGCAUUAUUCAUACAUGCUGCACUUUCAUGUAUGUAUAAGGCUAGACAUCAUGUUUUCAGGCAUGGAUGAGGCCAGUUAGCAUUGUCCUCCCAAGAGUAAGUUGUCUUUAUUUGAGGCUUUAUCUUGUGUAAUGAAUUAACUAGAGUUCACCAUUAAGUAGCUAUUUCCCUCUGAAAACUGUUAUAUCAGCAUUCUUACAAUAUAUGCAUCACUGAGUGCAGCCCUGUUGGUAUAUAUAUAUAUUAGACUGGUGUACAGUCAUGAAAUUCAGUUUGAUUUGAUUAUAUUUUAACAGGCUUUUGUUAUACCUUCCACUGUAGGAGAUUGAGCAACUUCAGGUCUUUGUUUUCAAUAGGUCACAUUACACCAGGGCCGGACUGGGAAAAAAAUUAGGCCCGGGAAUUUUUCAAUCAGAGCGGCCCCCUAAGAAGGGGGCGGGGCCAGAGAGUGUGUGUUUUGUCAUCACUAAUGACAACAUGCCCCCUCUCAAAGUGAGCAUGUUGGUUCAAUGCCCAGAGCCCUGCUGAAGAGCUCUGGCAUUAGAAAAAGGCCCUGAAUUUGUUCUGCGCUGCGCAAGCAAAUGUAAUAACAUGCUUGUGCUGUGUUUGCUUUUAAAUUGUCUCUGAUGUCUCCACAAGUGGGAUACCAGAGGAGAAAUGGGCCAGGAAAGUGCAUGGUGCAUAUGUUUGGAGCCUGCUUGUGGGAUUGCGUGUGUGUAGAGUGUGGUGUGGUAUUGUGUAAAUAGGUCAAUUUAAUUUGUGUUUGUGGUGUAAUAUGUGUGGCUAGGGGCUGUAGAGAGUGUGUGUAUAGGGGGCAUAGUUUUAUAGGGAUGCAGCGAGUGUGUGCAUACGGGCUGAAGUGUGUGUGUAUAGGUGACGUAGUGUGUGUAGGGGUUGCAGAGGGUGUGUUUAGAGAAUGUUGUAUGUGUUUGCUGACAAAGGGAAUGUAGUGUGUGUGUGUGUGGGGAGAUCUACUGUGUAAAAGGACCCAGUGUGUGUGUGUGUGUGUGUAUAGAGGGAUAAGAGUGCAUAUAGAGUAAGGGAUCUAGUGUGUAUCUGGGCGUGUAAUGUGUGUAGUGGUGCAGUGUGGGGGUGCUGUAGUGUGUGUGUGUGUGUGUGUGUGUGUAUAUAUAUAUAUAUAUAUAUAUUUGGACUUAUUGUAUGUGUGAGGGGCGCAGUGUGUGUAUGUAAGAGGGUUGCUGUGUGUGAGGGUGUUUUUAUCUGCUGUCACAUUCUAGGUUUCUAAUUUUCUUUGUCUGUUAACUCACUGAGGGUUAUUUUAUAUAUAUAUAUGUGUGUGCUGUAUAUGUGUGGGAGUGUGCUGUGUGUGUCUGGGUGCUGUGUGUGUCUAGGGGGUGCUGUGUCUGGGGGGUGCUGUGUGAGUCUGGGUGCGCUGUGUGUGUCUGGGUGCGCUGUGUGUCUGGGGGUGCUGUGUGUGUCUGGGGGUGCUGUGUGUGUCUGGGGGUGCUGUGUGCGUCUGGGGCAGUGUGCGCGGUCUGGGUGCAGUGUGUGUCUGGGGGGUGUGUGCGUCUGGGUGCAGUGUGUGUCUGGGUGCAGUGUGUGCCCGGUGUGCUGUGUGUGUCUGGGUGCAGUGUGUGCGCCCGUGUGCUGUAGUGUGUCUGGGUGCAGUGUAAAGUCUGGGUGUGCUGUGUGUGUCUGGGGCAGUGUGUGUGUCUGGGGUGCUGUGUCUGUCUGGGGGGUGCUGUGUGUGUGUUCGGGGGUGCUGUGUCUGGGGGUGCUGUGUCUGGGGCUGUGUAUGGGGGUGCUGUGCCUUGGGGUGCUGUGUGUGAGGAAUGUAUUUUUUAUUUAAAAAAAUUAUUUCCCCCCCUCCCUUCUUACCUUUAUCCUGGGAGGGGGGGGGGGAGGAGGAGAUCCAUUCUGCCAUGGAAGGAGGGGAGCCGUUCUGCCAUCCUUCCCUGGUGGCCCAGUGGUGAGAGUGAACUCUAACCUGCAGGUUAGAGUUCACUCUCGCGAGAUCUGAUCGUUGCCGUGGCAACGCUCAGAAUCCCGCGAGAGGACCCAGCGGAGCUGCUUGUUAGAGCUCCGCCGGGUCCUCCCUCCCUCCCUCACCCAGCCGGCGGCCGCAUUUCCAUGCCUCUGGGCCGGUGAGGGAGAUCUUUGAUCUCCCCACCGGCCCACGGAGGCACACAGCAGGGCCGGCGCUCGGAUAGCGCUGGCCCUGCAGGGGCCAGCCGGGGAGAUUCUGUGAUCUCCCCUGCCAGCCUCGGCCCCACGGCCAUCGCGGCCUGCUGCUGAGUACACACACGCUGAGUACACAUACACAGACUGCUGAAUACACACAGACUGCUGAAUACACACACAAAGACUGCUGAAAACACACACAGAGUGCUGAAUAGACAAGCACAGACUGCUGAAUACACACAUAGAGUGCUGAAUAUACACACAAACUGCUGAAUACACACACACAGACUGCUGAAUACACACACACGCACACAGACACACUUCUGAGUACACACAGAGACUGCUGAAAACACACACAAAGUGCUGAAUAUACUCACAGACUGCUGAAUACAGAGAAAUACACACUGCUGAGCAGGGCCGGACUGGGAAAAAAAUUAGGCCCGGGCAUUUUUCAAUCAGAGCGGCCCCCUAAGAAGGGGCCAGAGAGUGUGUGUUUUGUCAUCACUAAUGACAACAUGCCCCCUCUCAAAGUGAGCAUGUUGGUUCAAUGCCCAGAGCCCUGCUGAAGAGCUCUGGCGUUAGAAAAAGGCCCUGAAUUUGUUCUGCGCAGCGCAAGCAAAUGUAAUAACAUGCUUGUGCUGUGUUUGCUUUUAAAUUGUCUCUGGUGUCUCCACCAGUGGGAUACCAGAGGACAAAAGGGCCAGGAAAGUGCACGGUGCAUAUGUUUGGAGCCUGCUUGUGGGUUUGCGUGUGUGUAGAGCGUGGUGUGGUAUUGUGUAAAUAGGUCAAUUUAAUUUGUGUUUGUGGUGUAAUAUGUGUGCCUAGGGGCUGUAGAGAGUGUGUGUAUAGGGGGCAUAGUUUUAUAGGGGAUGCAGCGAGUGUGUGCAUACGGGCUGAAGUGUGUGUGUGUAUAGGUGAUGUAGUGUGUGUAGGGGUUGCAGAGAGGGUGUGUUUAGAGAAUGUUGUAUGUGUUUGCUGACAAGGAAUGUAGUGUGUGUGUGUAGGAGAUCUACUGUGUAAAGGACCCAGUGUGUGUGUGUGUGUGUGUGUGUAUAGAGGAUAAAGAGUGCAUAUAGAGUAAGGGAUCUAGUGUGUAUCUGAAGCGUAAUGUGUGUAGUGGUGCAGUGUGAGGGGUGCUGUAGUGUGUGUGUGUGUGUGUGUAUGUAUAUAUAUAUAUAUAUAUAUAUAUAUAUAUUUGGACUUAUUGUAUGUGUGAGGGGCGCAGUGUGUGUAUGUAAGAGGAGUGCUGUGUGUGAGGGUGUUUUUAUCUGCUGUCACAUUCUAGGUUUCUAAUUUUCUUUGUCUGUUAACUCACUGAGGGUUAUUUUAUAUAUAUAUAUAUAUAUAUAUAUAUAUAUGUGUGUGCUGUAUAUGUGUGGGAGUGUGCUGUGUGUGUCUAGGGGGUGCUGUGUCUGGGGGUGCUGUGUGUGUCUGGGGGUGCUGUGUGUGUCUGGGUGCGCUGUGUGUGUCUGGGUGCGCUGUGUGAGUCUGGGUGCGCUGUGUGUGUCUGGGGGUGCUGUGUGUGUCUGUGGCUGCAGUGUGUGUCUGGGUGCAGUGUGUGUCUGUGGGUGCAGUGUGUGUCUGGGUGCAGUGUGUGUCUGGGUGCAGUGUGUGUCUGGGUGCGCUGUGUGUGUCUGGGUGCGCUGUGUGUGUCUGGGUGCGCUGUGUGUGUCUGGGUGCUGUGUCUGGGGGUGCUGUGUGUGUCUGGGGGAUGCCGUGUCUGGGGGUGCUGUGUGUGUCUGGGGGUGCUGUGUGUGUCUGGGGGUGCUGUGUCUGGGUGCUGUGUNNNNNNNNNNNNNNNNNNNNNNNNNNNNNNNNNNNNNNNNNNNNNNNNNNNNNNNNNNNNNNNNNNNNNNNNNNNNNNNNNNNNNNNNNNNNNNNNNNNNACACUGACCGUUGGUCUCACCCAUAAAUAAGUAAAAAGUUUUUGUUUUAAAUCCAAGCUAUUGUGACACCAGAUGUAAGUGGUGGCAUUGACUGGGGAAAUGGGCACAGUAUGCACUGUGAGCCUGACACAGAAGCUGGCAGCAGUGGCAGACAACUGACUGCUAUUCAAUCUAUAACAGUGAAAAAAGUUUUUUGUUUUUAAAUCCAAGCUAUUGUGACACCAGAUGUAAUUGGUGGCACUGACUGGGGAAAUGGGCACAGUAUGCACUGUGAGCCUGACACAGAAGCUGGCAGCAGUGGCAGACAACUGACUGCUAUUCAAUCUAUAACAGUGAAAAAAGUUUUUUGUUUUUAAAUCCAAGCUAUUGUGACACCAGAUGUAAUUGGUGGCACUGACUGGGGAAAUGGGCACUGUGAGCCUGACACAGAAGCUGGCAGCAGUGGCAGACAACUAAGUGCAUUUACAUUAGAUAGAAAAAAAAAAUCCAAAAAAAGCAUACCCUUAUCCCUAACCUAGCUAUGCUUUUCCCUAUCUUAUGAACAGCAGCUACACUUUCCCUCCUCUUACUAAGCAUGCAGCUUGAGAAUGAAUCUAAAAUGGAUGCUGUCCAGUAGGUGGGAGGGUCUGCUAGGGAGGCUGUGCUGCUAAUUGGCUGGAAUGUGUCUGCUGACUGUGAGGUACAGGGUCAAAGUUUACUCAAUGAUGACGAAUAGGGGGCGGGUCGAACCGCGCAUAUGUUCGCCCGCCGUGGCGAACGCGAACAUGCUAUGUUCGCCAGGAACCGUUCGCCGGCGAACCGUUCGGUACAUCACUAGUCGCCAUAUGGGCAGUCGGACUCCAGGACAACCCUCCCACAUACCUAACCCAAUAAUGCACUGACACUAGGGUAUAUGGGAAAAUUUGUCCACAGCUUUAUUAAACAAUCUGAAUAAUAAUAACCAUAUAUUCAACAUAACAUAAUAAUAGUAAUAAUUUAACAAAUAAACAUGGGUCAUUGCCCCCCAUACUCUGCCUCUGCAUCCGAUUCCUUCUGUUAAUAUAAAAGGCAAUGACCCCCAUAUAAAUAACACAUAUAUAUAACAUAUACCAACAUUAUUCCAACAUACCAACCUAAAGUGCCAACAUAAAUUUAACCAUGGCAGGGGUAUACCCGGAUACCCCUACAACACCAGGUUCUGAGCCACCGACAGGACUCGAAACCUACCAACCACCAAUGACCACAGUUUUCCAUAUCUGUCACGUUCAUCCUAGGGAGCCUAUUCCUUCUCCUUCAGCUCCCUAUCCCGCCGCUGUGAAAAAACGGGAUAUCCCCUAACCAUAACAAUAUCUAUAGGGAGGGUGGGCGGGACAAACUUGGUCAGGUAGGAAAUUAGAAGUGAGCUCACUUAAAAUGGCUGCCUAUUUAAAUAGCCCAGCCUAUUUACCCAUAACUCCAUACUUCCUUCCCUCCUCCUAUGCCCGCCUCCUUACCCCUGUCAAGGCCCUUUUUCGCUUAGCUGUGCUUUGGCUACAUGGGGCUACAUUACUUGUUUCUUUGUAAGGGGCUGUGGCCAUUUUUGUAUGGCUUCCACUUUGGCUUCCUGUGGUUUAACCAAACCCCUCCCAAUAGAAUAACCUAAGUAUUUUGCUUCCUCGAAACCAAUUGUACACUUGGAAGGAUUGGCAGUUAAGCCCGCUGAGCGGAUAGCAUCAAGCACCGCUUGAACUUUGGGGAGGUGGGAUUCCCAGUCUGCACUGUGGAUGACGACAUCAUCCAAGUAUGCUGCAGCAUAACGAACAUGAGGUUUAAGAAUUCUGUCCAUCAUUCGUUGGAAUGUGGCAGGUGCCCCCUGUAAUACAGGCCUGCAAUACAGUGUACUGAAACAGGCCACUGGGUGUUGAAAAGGCUGUCUUUUCUUUGGCUCUUUCAGUGAGAGGGGCCUGCCAGUAACCCUUUGUUAAAUCCAAGGUUGUUAGAUAACAAGCUUUACCCAGGAAUUUAGUUUGUUUAUUAUUAUUUAAAGCACCUGUUUUUCUUAUCAAAUAAAAAAGAAAACUGAGCUGAAUGUAUCCUGGACUUUUUAUACCCUAGAAGGCUGUGGUUACUGCAAGAUCUGUGACAAUUCAACCUGUAAAAGAGGUGGUUUGUUACAACCCCUACAUGCACACAUAUACUCUAUAUAAAAACAUGCUUACAUUCAAAUUCACAAACACUGUUCACAAAGACAACCCUACAAGAAUGGCCAAAUGGUGGAUCNNNNNNNNNNNNNNNNNNNNNNNNNNNNNNNNNNNNNNNNNNNNNNNNNNNNNNNNNNNNNNNNNNNNNNNNNNNNNNNNNNNNNNNNNNNNNNNNNNNNGGGUGCAGUGUGUGUCUGGGUGUGCUGUGUGUGUCUGGGUGCAGUGUGUGUCUGGGUGUGCUGUGUGUGUCUGGGUGCAGUGUGUGUCUGGGUGUGCUGUGUGUGUCUGGGGGCAGUGUGUGUCUGGGGGUGCUGUGUCUGUCUGGGGGGGUGCUGUGUGUGUCUGGGGGGGUGCUGUGUCUGGGGGUGCUGUGUCUGGGGGCUGUGUAUGGGGGGUGCUGUGUCUGGGUGCUGUGUGUGUGAGUGAAUGUAUUUUUUUAUUUAAAUGUAAAAAAAAAUUUUACUAAUAAAAAAAAAAAUUAUUUCCCCCCCUCCCUUCUUACCUUUAUCCUGGGGGGGGGGGGGGGAGGAGGAGAUCCAUUCUGCCAUGGAAGGAGGGGAGCCGUUCUGCCAUCCUUCCCUGGUGGCCCAGUGGUGAGAGUGAACUCUAACCUGCAGGCAACGCUCAGAAUCCCGCGAGAGGACCCAGCGGAGCUGCUUGUUAGAGCUCCGCCGGGUCCUCCCUCCCUCCCUCACCCAGCCGGCGGCCGCAUUUCCAUGCCUCUGGGCCGGUGAGGGAGAUCUUUGAUCUCCCCACCGGCCCACGGAGGCACACAGCAGGGCCGGCGCUCGGAUAGCGCUGGCCCUGCAGGGGCCAGCCGGGGAGAUUCUGUGAUCUCCCCUGCCAGCCUCGGCCCCACGGCCAUCGCGGCCUGCUGCUGAGUACACACACGCUGAGUACACAUACACAGACUGCUGAAUACACACAGACUGCUGAAUACACACACAAAGACUGCUGAAAACACACACAGAGUGCUGAAUAGACACGCACAGACUGCUGAAUACACACAUAGAGUGCUGAAUAUACACACAAACUGCUGAAUACACACACACAGACUGCUGAAUACACACACACGCACACAGACACACUUCUGAGUACACACAGAGACUGCUGAAAACACACACAAAGUGCUGAAUAUACUCACAGACUGCUGAAUACAGAGAAAUACACACUGCUGAGCAGGGCCGGACUGGGAAAAAAAUUAGGCCCGGGCAUUUUUCAAUCAGAGCGGCCCCCUAAGAAGGGGCCAGAGAGUGUGUGUUUUGUCAUCACUAAUGACAACACGCCCCCUCUCAAAGUGAGCAUGUUGGUUCAAUGCCCAGAGCCCUGCUGAAGAGCUCUGGCGUUAGAAAAAGGCCCUGAAUUUGUUCUGCGCAGCGCAAGCAAAUGUAAUAACAUGCUUGUGCUGUGUUUGCUUUUAAAUUGUCUCUGGUGUCUCCACAAGUGGGAUACCAGAGGACAAAAGGGCCAGGAAAGUGCACGGUGCAUAUGUUUGGAGCCUGCUUGUGGGUUUGCGUGUGUGUAGAGCGUGGUGUGGUAUUGUGUAAAUAGGUCAAUUUAAUUUGUGUUUGUGGUGUAAUAUGUGUGCCUAGGGGCUGUAGAGAGUGUGUGUAUAGGGGGCAUAGUUUUAUAGGGGAUGCAGCGAGUGUGUGCAUACGGGCUGAAGUGUGUGUGUGUAUAGGUGAUGUAGUGUGUGUAGGGGUUGCAGAGAGGGUGUGUUUACAGAAUGUUGUAUGUGUUUGCUGACAAGGAAUGUAGUGUGUGUGUGUAGGAGAUCUACUGUGUAAAGGACCCAGUGUGUGUGUGUGUGUGUGUAUAGAGGAUAAAGAGUGCAUAUAGAGUAAGGGAUCUAGUGUGUAUCUGAAGCGUAAUGUGUGUAGUGGUGCAGUGUGAGGGGUGCUGUAGUGUGUGUGUGUGUGUGUGUGUGUAUGUAUAUAUAUAUUAGGACUUAUUGUAUGUGUGAGGGGCGCAGUGUGUGUAUGUAAGAGGGGUGCUGUGUGUGAGGGUGUUUUUAUCUGCUGUCACAUUCUAGGUUUCUAAUUUUCUUUGUCUGUUAACUCACUGAGGGUUAUUUUAUAUAUAUAUAUAUAUAUGUCUGUGCUGUAUAUGUGUGGGAGUGUGCUGUGUGUGUCUGGGUGCUGUGUGUGUCUGGGGGGUGCUGUUGUUGUCUGGGUGCGCUGUGUGUGUCUGGGUGCUGUGUGUGUCUGGGGGUGCUGUGUGUGUCUGGGGGCAGUGUGUGUCUGGGUGCACUGUGUGUCUGGGUGUGCUGUGUGUGUCUGGGGGUGCUGUGUGUGUCUGGGUGCGCUGUGUGUGUCUGGGGAUGCUGUGUGUGUCUGGGGGUGCUGUGUGUGUCUGGGUGCUGUGUGUGUGUGUCUGGGUGCGCUGUGUAUGUCUGGGUGUUCUGUCACUGUGUGUGUCUGGGUGCUGUGUGUGUCUGGGUGCUCUGUCACUGUGUGUGUCUGGGUGCUGUGUGUGUCUGGGUGCUGUGUGUGUGAGUGAAUGAAUUUUUUAUUUAAAUAUAUAUUUUUUAUUAAUAAAAAAAAAAUUAUAUCCCCCCCUCCCUUCUUACCUUUAUCCUGGGAGAGGGGGGGGGGGAGGAGAUCCGUUCUGCCUGGGGGGUGGGGUGCCAUGCUGCCUUCCCUGGUGGUCCAGUGGUGAGAGUGAACUCUAACCUGCGGGUUAGAGUUCACUCUCGCGAGAUCUGAGCGUUGCCGCGGCAACGGUAACCGCGGCAACGCUCAUAAUCCCGCGAGAGGACCCGGCGGAGCUGCUUGUUAGAGCUCCGCCGGGUCCUCUCUCCUCCCUCCCUCACCCAGCCGGCGGCCGCAUUUCCAUGCCUCUGGGCCGGUGAGGGAGAUCCUUGAUCUCCCCACCGGCCCACAGAGACACAUAGCAGGGCCGGCGCUCGGGUAGCGCUGGCCCUGCAGGGGCCGGCCGGGGAGAUCCCCUGCCAGCCUCGGCCCCACGGCCAUCGCGGCCCACCGGGCAUUUGCCCGGUAUGCCCGAUGGCCAGUCCGGGCCUGAAUAUAGCUUAAGGUAAAGAGGUAGCAGGCGCUGGUCCUGCAGUUCUAGUGCCCAAUCGUGGGAGCUACUGCUGCCAUGAUACUCUCUGUCUAAUCUCUUUAUUGAGUCUCAGCCAGGAGUGGAAGCUGCAGAGUGUCAGAGACCCAGGAACUUGACAAAGUGUCNNNNNNNNNNNNNNNNNNNNNNNNNNNNNNNNNNNNNNNNNNNNNNNNNNNNNNNNNNNNNNNNNNNNNNNNNNNNNNNNNNNNNNNNNNNNNNNNNNNNUAAUAAAUAAUUGAUGGCAGGUAUUACGAGUGGGUUGAUUUUGUAUUUUGUGCUAUUGUGCCUGUGGCUCUAGGAUGACAUACUUUAAAACUAGAGAAAUCUCAAUGUAUCUCUCCUUGUAAAAUAUUUUCUAAAUAAAUAAAAAAAAAUUCUAUGUCCUACUUGAUUUUCCCAGUGUUGAAAAACAUUCUCAGUCUGUGAAAGUAACUCUCUCUAUCCUUUCUUGUUUUGCAAUGAAUACACAGUAAUUGCUGAUCCACAAGAUGAUUAAAAUCACGUGGUGUGGUAAAUUUCAGUGUCUGUUAAUCUGAAGAUUUUGAAACAAUGUCUAUAAAAUAUGAAACAACUUUAUAUGCAAUUAAAAAAUAAAUGUUUAAUUUAGGAUGCUCAAACAUUUCCAGAUUAACCCCUUAAGAACAGAGUUAAACAGUAAUUUACCUCUAUCUCAUUAGGUGUACCCACAUUUAUUAUAUAUAAUUUAAUUCAGGACAAACAUGGCUUUCAUUUCACAUCUAAUAUUUAUAUAUUAAACAUAACUUAAUAUGAAUAAAAUCUAAAUAAAAGUGUAAGAAAUUAAGACAUUUUAUUAGUUCUGCAUGUCAUUUUAAUUGUGAAUCAUAAUACUGUUAGAUUUUACUGCGCAAAAGUACACAUAUCUGUGUUCAGCGAUGUCUCACAAGUAUAACAGUAUCCUGCAUGCAUAGGUUUUAUAGCGUUUUGGACACUAACAAGGGCCAAAUAUAGCGCAUUGCCUUUUGCAGUUUACAUACAUUGAAAUUUGCCAGAUUCGUUAUGUUGCCUUUGAGACCGUGUAGCAGGCCAAGAACGAAAGUCAUAGCAUAACAUUUGCAAAAGUAGACAAUCGAGUGUAUACAAAAUGGGAUGUUUGCAGUGUUUUGUAGUAGCCACUUAGUCACAGACCCUGGCCAAAUUUAGGUUUCAUAUUUGUCUUUUGCAUUUUUUCACCAAUAAAACUGCACUUUCACUGAUGAAAACCUGAUGUCCAGUUUUUAUGGUGUUUUGGAAAGUUACAAGAUCAAAUAUAAGACUUGCCCAUUCCAGUUUUUACACAUUGAAAUUUGUCAGAUUGCUUAUGUUGGCUUAGAGACCGUAUGGCAUACCAGGAAUGAAAAUUACCCCCAUCAUGGCAUACCAUUUGCAAAAGAAGACAAGCAAAGGUGUUCAAAGAGGAGUAUGUCCAGACUUUUUAGUAGCCACUUAGCUACAAACCCUGGCCAAAGUUACUUUUUAUAUUUUUUUUUUUUGCAUUUUUCUUUGAUAAUAUCAUUGUCAUGAUAUAUUUUAAUGUUUUUAAAAUGCUCAUAUCGGUGUUUCCGCAAAGUCUCCUGAGUACAACAGUAUCCUAUUACUUCUACAACAUCUUAAUUGCUCAGAAUUUAGCAGGACUGACCUUAUCUUUGUAAAUAGAUAGUCAGAUUUAUCUAUUUAUAUAUCAUAAAUAGCUGAGAAUACAAUAAAAAAAG